This 86622-nucleotide long non-coding RNA is filed under the name Citrus maxima (pomelo). RNAcentral's name for it is "long non-coding RNA (CMAX_LNC001476)". The record is from RNAcentral. Lineage: Eukaryota; Viridiplantae; Streptophyta; Magnoliopsida; Sapindales; Rutaceae.
CUGGCUUCUGCUACCGUCCUACUCUUUCUCGGCUUCGGAGUCCGUAUUUUCUCGGCCGGUCCCACGAAGCUCCCUCUCACUCCAAUUGUCGCCCCACAAGACCAAUUGCUUAAUCAAGACACCGAACAAGAAGAGGAUGAGAAGUUGAAACAAGAAUUUGAGAAUUGGAAAUAAAAAACGUACGCAUUGACCGUGCCUUUGAGAGUCGUUUCUCUUCAGAACUCAGUGCCUCAAUCUUGGGUUAAGGAUUUUAUGCGAAGUCAAGGAAAGAGAUUGAAGUUUCAGAUGAAUUUGUGCGCUAGCAUUGAUGGGAUCUUUAACAAUUUAUCUGUGCCCUUUAACAAAGUUAAGGCUAAGUCAGCUUCGUAUAUGGCUGCUGAUUUGGUUAGUGUUGGUGAUUCAUGGCUCAGUUUUGCAAUUAAAAAGAGAUUGAUUGAGCCAAUAGCUGGAGCUGAAGAUCAAGAUUGGUUCAAAUGCUUAUGUCACAAAUGGAAGGUAACAUCUUUAUCUUUGACCCGAUCAUUUUUAUUGUCUUUUUAAUUGCAAUGAGAAGAAAUGCCACUGUAGCAUGCAGUGAUGGCACUUAAUAAGUGAGUUGCUAGGAUGUGAACUAGAAAAAUUAAAUAUUGUCUCCUUGGGUAUGCUAGCUCGUAAGUUAGGGUUAAUAUCAGAGCUUAAGGUACUAUAACCGUGAGAAGCUAUUGACUGCCAAUUAAAAUAUCCAUUAAAAUGUCUAGGGAGUUAUGAAGGUGGAGGUAACUACUAAUAAAAAAUAUCCAGUUAACCUCCUGCUCGAUGCAAUUAAUAAAUUUGGUCAAUGCCACUGAAACCUGCUAACUGACAUCACAAUGCGACAUGAGCACUUCAAAAUGGGACAGACGGUCAGUAGCACUAAAUUUUUCUUGCCUAAGAUUGAGCAAUUGGUCUAACUACUAAUCCCUAUUGUAGGUUGAUCAUUAUUUUUUCAAUUAUGUUCAGUUUGACCCAAAAAGUUGCAGAAUCUUGAGCUGAAUAUUGUCACUGAACACUGUCAAUGUCGUUUAGCAUGGCCAACUAACUUGAGUUUGGUAAAACAAACACACAGUGUGUCUCAUGUCUCACAAAUCAAAUUAUCAUCUGUAAUGAUGGAGAAUUUUUCCAAUGUAUGAAGUAUGCUUUGAUACGUGGGUUACCUUGGAGAAGAUAUCUUAAAAUAAAGAAUAUGGGGAGAAAACAGUUCAGUAGUUUAUUAUUCUGUAGUCAAGUUUUGUCUCGAAAAUGGUCAAAAUUUAAAUGAACAAGGACAGGGGAUCUUCAUUCUUUUUUCCCUUUUUUAUACCAAGAUAUCUCUCAACCUUUAUAUAAUCCCCACUGGAUAUCUGCUUCUAAUAAUUAAAAUAAAAAUUUCACCGCUCUAACAAUAAAAAGUAACAUCUUUAGUCAAAUAAUUUACAGUUCCUCAUCAUCUUAGUGUGAGACUAUCAGUACAUUCCAAAAACAUAAUAAAACUGGUUUGAUCCUGUUUAUUGAUGUUUAAAUGUUGUUCAUUGUGACAUGUAGAAAUGAUGAGGCGAAGUUUAUUUGGACAUCAAUUAGUAAGAUCUUGUUUGAAGUUGUUUUCUGAAAUGAACUGCCGAAUGGUAGUUUUUUGGGGGCAUUUGAUGGCUCUUUUUUUUUCCUCAUUUUCAACAUGUGCCUGCUUGGAACAGGAAGGAUUAGACUGCAGAGUUGUUAUAUAUUUUGAGAUGCUCUGGUCAUUGCACAAUUUGUUCACACUGGAAAUUAGAAUGAGAAAUUUGUUGAUGCUGUUUUGAGAGAUCUGCAUUCUAUGCACAAUAACAUGAUUAAUGAAAAUGCAUUGUAGGACUGGAAAGAUCUGUGGCAGCCUGAGCUCGCAGGAAGAAUUUCAAUGGUUAAUUCUCCCCGACAGGUUAUUGGUUCAGUUUUGAAGUAUAGGGGAGCAUCAUACAAUUCAAACGAUAUUGAUUCGCAAGUUGCUGGUGGGAAGAUUGCUGUUCAGCAGAAUCUAGCAUUACUGGCAAACCAGGUACUCUUACAGAAAUGAUAUCUGGUCAUUGCAUGUUAUUGCCUGACAACUGAUUUUGUUUGUACAAGUCUGCUUCUUCAUACAUAUGAAUGCAUAUGUUAGUGUUUUCUUCUCCUUUUCAUACAUAUAAAUGCAUAUGUUAGUGUUGUCUUUUCCUUUUCAUACAUAUUAAUACAUAUGUUGGUGUUCUCUCCUGAGAUGGAUGCAAUAAAGGCUUUUGCUCCUAAAUUUAGCUGAAGAAAUGGCAAGGGAUGUGAGAUUCUGUUUCAUUAAAUUAACAAAAACCCAAAACAAUGAAAAUCCAUAAUAAUGUGGUGUGGGUAAAUUGGCUCCAUUUGGUUCGUUUCCUUAAUGUGAACGCGCGAGCAAUAGAGACUAACAAAAUGAAGUGACAACAAGAAGUCAGUGUCCUUUGAUGGAUGCAUUUUUAGGCAGAAAUAGGUUUGUAAUUGACCAAAUUUGUCUGGCAUGCCAAUUUAAAAAUAAAUAAAUUAUGUGGUUAUUAGCUGUAAUGAAGGGGGAUAGUAGGUGCAAUCAGGUGGAUCCUGGAAAGUUCAACAAAGUUUUGGUAUGGCGUAGUGAAAUUGGUUUGUGCAACUCAGGAGUCUUUCAGGUGAACGAUGAUAGGUUUUGAUUUAUGAAUAUUAUAAAUCUACUGUGCAUAGUAGAAUCAUCUAUAAGUUCUAGUUAUUGAAAUUGUAUACUUUGCCCGGUUUGAGUUAAGGGCACAUGUAAUAUGAAAGAUAGUUGUCGCAUCUUUUAGGUUACCUAACAUUUGAUCAAUCCUAUUAUGGGGGCUUCAAGAUGUCUAACAAUAUGUAGAAUGCCCGUGCUCCUCCCCAUUGUUUAUCUUAUACAAUAAUUUGUUUUAGAUGCUAAUAUCUUUGUCGAUACCGGUAACAAUAUUACAAUAUCUGCGUUUAUUGGGUUUUACAUAGGUUCGACUGUUUGACAGUACACACUAUCUGAAGGCAUUUGCAAUUGGAGAUGUAUGGGUUGCUGUUGGGUGGAGUAGUGAUGUUCUUCCUGCUGUCAAACGUAUGUCUAAUGUUGCUGUUGUUGUUCCCAAGUCUGGUGCUAGCUGCCUGCCAUUCUACUUCGAUAUUCACAUUGUUAUCUCCUUCAUAUUAGCGAUCAGUAAACACGAUAAUGUGACUAAUAAGUUUGUAUUCUCUUUAUAGGCAAUCCCUGCUGCCUCAAGACUUGAAACAAAACAAAUUGGAGGGCGAGUCAGAGGUCCAUCUCCAUUAAUCCAUCAAUGGAUAGAAUUCUGCUUGCAAACAGCGAGAGCAUUGCCUUUCAAGCAAGAGGUUAUCCCGGGUGCAUCUCCCUCUGCCCUUGAAAGUACUCUGGUUAAGUUGCCUGAAGAACUUCUGAAGGGUAAACCAAGUCUGGAUACUAACUUAAUUGCUGGAGUACUCCCGGCUGAAAUUCUGGCCAGAUGUGAGUUUUUGGAGCCAUUAUCUGAAGCUACUUGGUCAUAUUAUGAGUGGCUGGUUGUUAAUCUGCAAAAAGCUGCUCCUGUCUUGAUGAAAAGGGUGCAACAUUACUUGUCAUCAUUAAUCCAAAGCUUUCUAGCAAGAGCUACAUUGAAAAGUUAAUGGCGCUGCAUGCCAAUCAUUAUAAUGCUGUCAGGGCAAUUGGGUCAGGGCAAUUAGGUCAGAGCAUAACUUCAUUAGGAAAAGAGGCUUCAGCUACGUUAAAUAUUACAGGAUGUACUGAGAUGGCUGAAGUCGUUGAGGUUUUACGAGAAACGAAAGAUGAGUGUUUGUUUGAACAAAGUUGUUACUGCAGCGAUUUUGAAUAUGUGCAAGAUGUUGUCCACUGCUCUUUGGGUUAUGGUGUGACUUUCGAUUUCAAGGUUGCCCUGAAACAACGGAAAAGAUUUACAUACCCUCCAAGGAAUGACAACGGCUGGACUAAUUCUGAUCACCUAAUUGACUCAGGAUCGGCUGGCAAUAAUAACAGUUUGUUAACAAUGCACAGUCCCGAGUACUUUUCCAGGAUCAGAUACGACGUGGUCUAAUGUUGAUAAUAAUAGUUUAUUAAAUGACAAAUCGUUGUCCUUGGGUGUUGAUUUCAGAAAUAAAAUACAUUCUGAGGGAUGCUGGUCUACUAUUGCAAGCCCCCAGAGUUAAGAAUCUUUUGAUUGGGGCAUUUGGCAACGAUUCGACAAAUUCUAUUUUCAGCCUCGUCCACCAAGGGAUUCCAACUGAGUUAUCAAUUAUCGUAGCAGUUCUAUUAACUAAAAUUAGCAAAUAUAGCACCAGAAAAAGAACAACAAAUACGCAGUGAAGUUGAAUUGAAAAUGAAGUUGCCGUUGCCGCCCAUAGCGGCUGACUAAUAAUAAAACGAGACAAAUUAAUUAAACUAUUUAUGGUAUGCAAAAACAAACAAAAACCCGUAAAAAAUUUCAAAAAAUUAUUAAUCACACUCUAAACUUACCACUCAACUCUUAAUAAUAGUCAUAAUUUAAAACAAUUUACAACUUUUGAAAACAUUUUCAAAGUUGCCUUUGCCCAAGAGUGGAUUGCCAUGAGGAAAAUCAUUUUCUCAGUGGAUUGCCAUUGCCCAGGAGUUGCAAUGAAAACAGACCACCAACUGUGCCGGAAGAUUCAACUAGCACUGAAAAAGAUGAUAAUGGAUAGUGUCCAUAUAAUUUUUAAAUCAUCUUAUGUAAUUGUGAUGUCAGGAAGCAUUAAUGUUCUAUAUGUGAACUCUUAUUGGCAACAUUGGUGGUUUUAUCCUGUUAAAAUGUGGAUGACUUCCGGUUACUAUUUUGUCGUACACAAUUUUAUUCAAUUAACAUAUAGUUUAAAACCAUUAUGCAUGUAUGUGCUUUAUUAAGAUUCUCAAGUACCAAUCACGUUUGCUUAAGAAAUAAAAUUUUGCCAUUAAAAGUGUAGUAAUAUUUCCAAGCGCCUCGCAUUUAUCUCAAUAUUUUGAAGGAAUUUCGAGAAAUACACGUGUCCAAAAGUCUAGUCAUCAUCCUUACUAUUGGGGUAUUGGUAUUGAAAAGCCCUACGCUAAAUGCAGUUUGUAAGAGGAUGGAGAUAUUUACUGUCGCAAUAUUAUGGAAUAUGCACAAGGAGUUUUUCUAUUGUUCUUUUGAUGUUGCAGCUGUUGGUGCUUUCAAUGUUUCCCUGAAACAUAGCGAAAGAACGCACAUAUUCUUCGUAUGAGUUGAUUUUUAGUGAUUAUCUAAUUGACUGAGGUGACAACAACAGAACGCACAACGUGGAAUUCAAUAAUAAAAUUCUUCCGUUCAAUUUGUUUUUAAGUUAAAUUAUUAAUUACUUAAAACUCUGUUUUUUUAAGUCUUUAAUUUUAUGUGUUGGCGUAUAUGCAAAGUUGGAUUCUUAAGUGAGUUGGACAUGACCUACAAUGAGAGUGACAGUAAACAAACAUUAAAACGUGUGGACUCCGGUAGCUGCCCUACAAGUCUACAAUAAUAAUUUCUAGCCCCGUUGACUCCACCAACUAAAGUUUUUUAAAAUUUAGAAAAGUACAUCGAAUUACACAACAAGCAAAACGCGUGGAAUUUAAUUUUUUGCGAAUAAAAUAUAAUUUAACGAAAAACAACAAGAAAAAUGGUAAGAUUUCUAAAAUGAAUGGAAGUUGAUCCAUAUUUUAGUCAGGGUGCGUUUGAGAUUAAGGUUCUGUAGCUAUAAUUUAAAAGUUGUAGUAUUAAAAUGUUUGGUAAACACUAAUUAUUGUAACUUAAAAGUUAAGUUAAUAUAAUUUUUUAUUUAUAUGAUGAAAAAUUUAUUAUAUCUUUAUUAAUUUUGUCAAAAUUAUUAUUUAAAAUUUACUCAUUUUUGUUUCAUAGUUACAACAUUUUUCCCACAACAACUGUAGCUUAAAAACUAUAGCAUCUCAAUCCCAAACGCACCCUCAAACAACUUGCCUCCAACAUUAAGAUGAUUGAUUUUUUUUAUUUUUUUAAUAAUAUCAACUUCCAUAUCUUUCCAGAAUAUGCUCACGUUCAAGUCUAUCUUGCUAAUUUGAAAAAGAAAAUCAAAUCAAAUCAACACCAAAACAAUGAAAAGUAAAGCUUUUGAAUUUCAAUCCAGCUAGCUAACAUAUUCAGCGUUUUCAAUUUCUUCCCAUUGCAUAUCUUCUUCCUCCAUCAAUGCAAUAUUUGAACGAUAGGAAAGAGUUUAAGAACAUAAAAAAUCUCCUAGGUUUAUAAGGCAUAACAAAUUUAAAUUCUCAAUUUUAAUAGAUAAUAAUUAAACUAAUAAUUAUUUAUAUACUUAUUUUAGUAAUUUCACCUAAGAAUAAUAUUGUAAUUAGAAAAAAUCUAAUAAGUGGGGCGGUUUUAUACAAAAUCAACUGCAUACAUAUAUGCAGAUGCAAAUAAUAAUUUUUUUUUUUUAAUAAGCAAAUUGUAUAUUGAGAGGAAUAAGAUGUUUAAUUUAAUUAAUUUCCUUACUUUCAAGUUUCAUAUACAUUGCCUUUCUAUCUAAAGAAAGGUUGGUGUUCAGAAUGACAUGAAGUUGCGAGUUGCUGCCCAUGGCUACAGAUUAAUAAUAAAACGAGACAAAUUAAUUAAACUCAGGCCUUUAUGUAUAUGUUAUCCUAACUUUAAUCGCUCUUGUUUGUUAAUAUUCAUUCUUAGGGAGGUGAAAAAAUUACAAGUCUUGAAUAACAAGGAGGAGUUUAAUUGCCUCUAACUUUACUUGGCUUUCUUUAAUCUCAUUAAUAAUCAAUCUCCCUGCAAUUUCGUAAGCCAAGCGCAAAAUCAUACAGAGAAUUAAUUAUCUUUUUAUUAUUAAACCAUCUUCAAGAAGAUUUUCGUCAAUUUGCCCCAGAGUGGUUGGAGCUGUGUUUCUGAUAAGCCAAAGAAUUAGUAGCAAUUAGUAUUAAUAUUGUCCACCCAAGAAAUAUGAGUGAAUUAAAGUAUUAGCAAGACUUCAUUGAGAGGAGCCAUCUAUUAACUAAAAUGCGAAUUUAAUACAAGAAGAAAUAGUAUGUACAUACUUGGCAAUUGAGUUCGUUAAGAAGUGGCAUCGCAUUCUGGUGAUGAGUUUACUUUUGUUAAUAAUUUUAGUCUAAUUACAAUCGUACUUUGACCACUACUCAAGCUAAGUGAAAGUUACGGAUGUGGCAAAAUAAAUAAUUAAAUUAACAAAAUGCUAACUAAUUUUCCUGACUAAAUAGAGUUGCACAAUUUCACUAAUUUGGAACAAUUGACAUUAAUGGACUAGUUUUCACCCCAUAUAAUUAAAAUCCUUCUGGAAAGCUAAUUUUUAUUAAGUAUUUGCUUUUAAGUUAAUUUCAAUUAAAAAAAAGGUUUUAAGCUAUAUGUAGUCUAAUGAGAUUUUCUUCGGAACUUUUUUUUUUUGUUUAUUUUUAAUUUCAAGUUACCUUAAUUUUAAGAAUUUGGAACAUUGAUUUGGUCAUGGAUUAAUUUCAACUAGUAACUGUCAUAUUCUAAACUUAAUGGUAUCAUUCUUGAUCAAGGGCAAUGACUCUUAACUCCUCUUAUAAAAAAAAAUAUUUUCGACUAUUUUGAUGACAAACCUCUCUAACAGAUAGUAGUCUUUAAAACUGAUAGAUUUGGCCAAAUUAUUCAUUUUAACGAAAUAUAAUUUAUGCAUCAAAAUUAUCAGGCAUAUGUCCAAUGCAGCACUUUUUUUUCCCUUAAAAAAAAUGAAAUUAUCGGUUAUGCCCCUGAGGCAUUUUCUAGAGUAUAGGUUCUGCUUACCUCUAUUUCUCUUGUAACUUUCUUUUUCAUUUUUUUAAUGAAGUUAAUUAAUAAAAGAACAAGGGAAGGUUUUUCAAUCAUGAUUUUCCAAGUCAUGCAUUAUUUGACUACCGAUCAAUCAAGAAACCGACCAAAUUAAUUUCUCUCCAUGAUUUCCAAAAGCUAGAAAAUUUUAUUAUUUGAAAACAACAUCGUUAAUUAUAGAGUGAAUCAAACCGCAUUAUCGUCUCUCAUGAAACUGAUGUGAGUCAUACUUUUUAAUUACGCAAACCAGUCAACUUGAACUUUCUUAUUUUUAUUAUUAUUAUACCAUUCAUUUCAAUCCCCGAUUAUUUGACCAGCAACUAUCAAGACACCGACCAAAUUUAUUUCUCCAUGACUUCCAAAAACUACAAAAUAACAUCAUUAAUUGGAGUUGAUCAAACCACAGUAUUAUUGUCAUGUAUUAUUGUGUAAAAAGUAACUCAUGAACAAUGAUGCAGAAUCGCAUGAAUAGAUCUCUGCGAACAGAGAUUUCAGAGUUAGUUAAUUAGGUUAAUUAAUUUUCAAAGGUUUUAGUUUUCCUAUACUUACUAAAAUAGAUAUAAAUUUUUAACAAAUCACUUCCAAAUCUCAACAUCACUUGAACGAUUCUUAAAGUAAAUUGUUAAUUAAUUUCCCUGACGUAUACAGCUAAAGUUGUUGCUCCUCCUAAUUAAAUAAAGUCGCAUAAUUUCACCAACUUGGAAGAAUUGACAUUAAUGGACUGGUCCCCUCUCUAGAUGUAAAGUCUUCUUAAAAGAUAAUUUUAUUGCCUGUUUGCUUUUAAGUUAAUUUAUAUUUCGAAAAAAAUGUUUAAGUUACAUAUAUGACGGAGGGAGUCUUUUAAGGACAAUUCCCUUCUUCAAAUAAUAAUGAAAAAGGGGUAAUUUAAAAAUAAAAUAAAUAAGUGUUGAUUAUAUCUUGAAUUUCAUCGAUUAUGUGAUCAAAGUGAUAAUUUUGAUUUAUUUUUUGUUCAAUUUUAAUUUUUAGGUUAUCUUAAUUUGAAGAAUUUAGAAUAUUCGGUCAUAAAUUACGCACAUGUAAAUUUUUCUGCCAUUGACUAUAAUAUUUUAGACUUAAUGGUACCUUUCUUGAUGAAGGGUAAUGAGUCUAUAUUCUCCUCUUAUAAAAACUAUAUUAGUUGAUUCUUGUUAUGGUUAAUAGUCUUUAAGAAUGGAUAGAUUUAUUGACUUCAUAACCAAAUUAUGCCUGCCUAGGGCUGCGACUAUUAAUAAAAUUAAUAUUUAAUGUUUAUGUUAACAGAUUUAAGAUUUUAUGCGUUCAUUAAUUGUUAUUAGCUAAAGGAUGAAUUAUAUUUUCAAGCCAAUCAGUUGAUGCAGCUGCAAGAGUUUUUUUUGUUUUACUGACCAUAAUUUUCUCCCAGGUAAAUCUUCUCAUCAGCCCUCAUUUAUCUUUUAUAAAUUGAAGAUCUCACAUUUUCAAACUAUCACUUCCAAACUUCAGUAUCACUUGAGCCAUUCUUGAACCAUUCAAAACUGAACAAGCUUGGAAAUAACCAAAUAUAUGCAAAAAUCGAAUCACAUUCUUUGGCCCCUCAAAAUUCUAAUUAUAUAACUUCUAUAUAUCUCAUUGUCUGGUCACGAAGAUGGUGGCACAUUAAACUUCUCUUCCAUCAACAUCAUUAGGAAUAUGUUCAUCUCUCACACAUUAACUUGAGUGGAGAGUUUCCAAAUUGAUUGUUAGAAAACAAUGCAAAAGCUAGGCACACUUGAUCUGUCUAAUAAUUCUCUUUCGGUAAAAUUAAUUAAUUUUAGGGGUAUAUUCGGCCAAUCUAUAUAAUUUCAGAUUGAUCAUUAAUUAAUUAGACGAUACAAAUUGCUAAAGUGAUUUGAUUUUUGCUGACAAUACAACUAUACAAGUUCAUGACUUGAAAUUUGAUCUCUAUCGAUUGGUUUACAAAUGGACGUACCUGUGCCUUGUGAUGAUAAUUGAACCAGAGAUGUAAAGCUAUAAGGAUUUGACAGCACUAAAUUGUUACAAAGACAUAAAAACAAGUUCCCAUUAUUAUUACUUUUGGCAAAUGUGUGUAAUUUAAUUUUUGACUAUGUGGACCAAAAUGCAAAUGAAAGAAAAAAAAAAACCAAAGAUGUGGAAGUCUUUGGGCUUUUCUUAUAAUUGUGGGUUUUUCAAAGGGAAAAAAUGAGGACACUUCUAAUGUUUGUUUUGAUAAUUACACAUAUACUGUUUAAUUUUAUAUAUGGGCAUAUAAAUCUUUUUUACAAAUAUAUAUUAUUCAUUUUCUGUAUUAUUUUUUAACAUCAUAUUUUUAUUUAUUAUAAAUAUUUAAAGCUAGUUUUUAGGUUGAUAUUUAAUAAAAGGGUAUAAUCGUUCUUUUACUAAACACACACGCUCCUAGUUCCUAUCCAUUUGUCAUCUCAAUCUCUCUCAAUUAUCCUUUAUUGAUAGCUCAAAACGCGUCAUUGUGGAAAAUUAUAGCAAAACAACAAAUAUGGAAAGAAUGGGAAGAAAAUUAACGCGUGAAAGACUUGGAGAAGACAACCAAAUAAGUCAACUAUAAGCAAGCUGGGUGUAUAAAUUGUUAGAUGUGUUAUAAACAAAUAGCGUAGAGCCCUCUAGUUGGUUACAGAGACAGAAAGAGUAUGUGUAUUUUUUAGAACUUAAAGAUAUAGUUAGAAUGGGUGAUUCAAAAUCAAAAACGGUGAUAAUGUUUGUUCUGUUAUUAAUAAUAUUUGGAGGUGGGUGGAGUGAGGGAUGUUUGGAUCAUGAGAGAUUUGCUCUUUUACGACUAAAACAUUUCUUCACUGAUCCUUAUGAUAAGGGAGCUACUGAUUGUUGUCAGUGGGAAGGGGUUGAGUGCAGCAACACCACAGGGCGAGUGAUAGGACUAUACCUUUCUGAAACGUAUUCGGGAGAGUACUGGUAUCUGAAUGCUUCUUUAUUUACUCCCUUUCAACAACUUGAGUCACUUGAUUUAAGUUGGAACAAUAUAGCCGGUUGUGCUGAGAAUGAAGGUGCUUCGUUUAAUUUAAUUAAUUUACUUCCUCCCUCCUAAUUUAAGUUGAAUAUCAAGAUCGAGCAAUUAUAUGCAUAUUCAUUCAGUUGACAAUUUUGACAAUUUUUUUUAAAUGAUUAAUUUUGAAAUUAGACCAACAACCAUGAUCUGUUUUCAUUUUACUUGCAGGUCUAGAGGGGCUGUCAAGAUUGAACAACCUAAAGAUGCUUGAUUUAAGUGGGAACGCAUUCAACAAUAACGUCUUAUCAUCUCUAGCUCGUCUUUCAUCAUUAAGAUCAUUAUAUUUAUCUGACAAUAGAUUGGAAGGAAGUAUUGAUGUUAAAGGUACAAAAUUAAAACUUCAUCUCUUCUCCGAACACUUCCAUUAACUUGCUAAAUUAAGAUUUAAGGCUUUGAAUUCAAUUUUUUUACGAGUAGUAUUGAAAAAAAAUGGUUAUAAACAAUUCAAAAAUAAAUGUCCACUGUUUCUCAUAAUUUUAUGUUGAACUUUCGUAUGUCUUAACUUUAGGGUUAAAACAAAAUUACUCUAAUUGCCAACCAAACACUCAUAGCUAAUUUAUCUUUUUUUUUAAUUAUUUAAAAGUGAUGAAAUUUAUCUUAUUUUUCGUGAGGUUUGAAACAUUCAACUCAAUUUGUACUCUUUACAGAAUUAGAUUCUUUGAGAGAUUUAGAGGAGCUAGACAUCGGCGGGAACAAGAUUGACAAAUUUAUGGUCUCAAAAGGUACUACAAAUACCAUAAAAAAUGUAAACUUUUACAAAUUAGCUAAAUUGUUUGCCAUUUGGUUAUUAUUUUGCAGGUUUAAGUAAGUUGAAGUCUCUCGGUUUAAGUGGUACGGGAUUCAAAGGGACAUUCGAUGUUCGAGGUAAGACUAAGCCACUUUCUCAUUUUAUAUAUGCCAGCUAGACUUGUGUAUCAUCGACAUAAUUUAAUAUUUAAUUUGAUUAGUCUGAAGGAAUUACAUACUAAUUAAACAUACUUUUAUAUACUCUGUCGAUCAAUUAAUUAAAUGCUAUUUGGUUUGGUUUAGACGAAAUUCUUAUGACAUUUUAAUUUCUUUCAAUUUAUUAAUUAAUUUACUCUGUUUUAAGUCUUAAGUCUGGGUAUGUUUGCAGAAUUCGAUUCCUUCAACAACUUAGAAGUGUUGGACAUGAGCGGCAAUGAAAUCGACAAUCUUGUGGUUCCUCAAGGUAAACAAUUAAAAUAUUAUUCAAUUACAUUAAUUUAAUUCAUUGAUUAGGCAGGCCCAAAAGCUACAAAAAUAAUAGUAAUAAUAAUAAAGAAACAAAGAGUUUAUAAUAAUAAUAAUAAUAAUAAGCUGUUAAUUAAUUAAUUUCGCUGCUACUUCCUUCUAAACAGAGUUGCACAAUUUCACCAUCUUGAAUAUUUGAGAUUGGACUCUUCCUCUCUCCAUAUAAGCCUUCGGCGAUUGCUUGAAGAAUUUGUUUAUUUAUUAUUAAAAUGUUUAAUUUUGAAAUUACCCCAAACACAUGUGAUCUCUGUUUUGAUUUUACUUACAGGUCUAGAGAGGCUAUCAAGAUUGAGCAAGUUGAAGAAGCUUGACUUAAGAGGAAACUUGUGCAAUAAUAGCAUCUUAUCAUCUGUAGCUCGUCUUUCAUCAUUAACGUCAUUACAUUUGUCUCAUAAUAUAUUGCAAGGAAGUAUUGAUGCUAAAGGUACAUAAUUAAAACUUCAUCUCUUCUCCCAACUCUUUCAUUAACAUGCUAAUAUAAGAUUGAAGGCUUUGAAUUCAAUUUUUUUAUGAGCAAUAUUAGAAAAAUAGUUUAAGCAAUUCAUAAAUACAAUUUUCAAUGUUUCUCAUAAUUCCAUCUUGUACUUUCGUAUGUCUCGACUUUAAAAAAAAAAUUACUCUGACUGUGAAGCAAAUACCCCAUGACUAAUUCAUCAUUUUUUCCAGUUAAAAUUGAUAAAAUUUAUCACUCGUUUUUAUUGAUUAAUUAACUCUGUUUUGAGUCUUAAGUCUUGGCGUCUUGGCAUGUUUGCAGAAUUUGAUUCCCUGAGCAAUUUAGAAGAGUUGGACAUCAACGACAACGAAAUAGACAAUGUUGAGGUUUCUCGAGGUAAACAAUUGAAAUAUUAAUUCAAUUACAUUAAUUUAAUUCAUUUGAUUAGGAAAGGCCCAAAAAGUACAAAAACAUUUAAAAAAAUAGAGAAACAGAGAAUUUAUAUUAUUUAAAAAACAGAACGUAACACUAUUAUUUCAAAAAUAGAGUGUAACAAAGAUUCGAUUCCAGUUCUUUUGAUAUUUACAUCAAUUGAAAAACGAUGUUGCUCUUUUUCCAAAGCAUAAAAUACGAAUUGACUCCCAAUUAAACUAAUCAUUUAUUUCGUUUAUCUCUAAAUUUAAACAAUGAAUUUUGAUCUUCAAUCCUAUCCUAAUUACUGUUAAAAAACAGGUUACAGAGGCUUGAGGAAGUUGAAAAGCCUUGAUCUAUCGGGAGUUGGAAUUAGAGAUGGAAACAAGUUGUUACAAUCAAUGGGAUCAUUCCCAUCCCUCAACACUCUUCACUUGGAGUCUAAUAAUUUUACCGCUACACUGACAACUACUCAAGGUAAGUAAAAGGUACAUAUGUAGCCAAUUUUAUAAAUAAAUUGUUAAUUAAUUAAGUAAUUUUCCAUAUUAUUAAUAAAGCUAAAUUCGUUUUUCUUCCUUAUAAUUCUAAACAGAGUUGCACAAUUUCACCAACUUGGAAUAUUUGACAUUGGACGAUUCCUCUCUCCAUAUAAGCCUUCUGCAAAGCAUUGCAUCAUUAUUCCCUUCGUUAAAAAAUCUGUCGAUGUCUGGUUGUGAAGUCAAUGGCGUCCUAAGCGGUCAAGGUAAAAGAAAAGUGUUGAUUGUGAACUCACUCAAUGGUGUCCUACGUGUUCAAAAUUUUUAUUUAUUAAUUUAUUUAUUGUUUAAUGUUUCUGCUAGGUUUUCCUCAUUUCAAGAGUUUGGAACAUUUGGACAUGAGGUUCGCGCGCAUUGCACUCAACACUAGCUUUCUUCAAAUCAUCGGUGAAUCGAUGCCUUCUCUUAAGUACUUAUCACUGUCAGGUUCUACUCUUGGCACUAACAGCAGCAGGAUUCUUGAUCAAGGUUAAUCAGAUGCUCCCACCCUCCCUUCUUAAUCUAUAAUAUUAAUUUUCAAUUAAAUAUUUAAUUACACAAACCAAUCACUUCUAUAUGAAAGAAUACUCUGCAUUUGUUAAUUUUUAUGUUGUAGUGAUGGAUGCAUUAAUAAAUUUUCAGGCCUCUGCCCAUUGGCGCAUCUGCAAGAGUUGUACAUUGAUAAUAAUGAUUUAAGAGGUAGCUUGCCUUGGUGCUUGGCAAAUACGACAUCCCUCCGAAUAUUAGAUGUUUCUUUUAACCAACUUACUGGAAGCAUCUCUUCAUCCCCCCUCGUUCAUUUGACAUCCAUUGAAGAGCUGAGGCUUUCAAACAAUCAUUUCCGGAUCCCAGUUUCACUUGAACCACUUUUCAAUCACUCAAAACUCAAGAUUUUCGAUGCGAAAAAUAACGAAAUAAAUGGAGAAAUAAAUGAGUCACAUUCUUUGACCCCAAAAUUCCAGUUAAAAUCUCUCUCAUUGUCCUCCAAUUACGGGGAUAGUGUCACAUUCCCCAAAUUCCUUUACCAUCAACAUGAACUGAAGGAAGCUGAACUCUCACACAUUAAGAUGAUUGGAGAAUUUCCAAAUUGGUUGUUGGAAAACAACACAAAAUUAGAAUUUCUUUACCUCGUGAAUGAUUCUCUUGCAGGACCUUUCCGCUUGCCAAUUCAUUCACAUAAGCGGUUAAGAUUCUUAGAUGUCUCCAACAACAACUUCCAAGGCCACAUUCCAGUAGAAAUUGGAGAUAUUUUACCAAGUUUAGUUUAUUUCAACAUUUCCAUGAAUGCUUUGGAUGGUAGCAUUCCCUCCUCAUUUGGCAACGUAAUCUUCCUCCAAUUUCUGGACUUAUCCAAUAAUAAAUUGACUGGUGAAAUCCCUGAUCACUUGGCCAUGUGUUGCGUCAACUUGGAGUUUCUUUCGCUAUCAAACAACAGCCUAAAAGGUCACAUCUUCUCCAGAAUUUUUAGCUUGAGAAACUUGAGAUGGUUACUAUUGGAGGGCAAUCACUUCGUAGGAGAGAUCCCACAAAGUUUGUCUAAAUGCUCCUCAUUAAAAGGAUUGUAUCUUAAUAAUAACAAUCUCUCGGGCAAGAUUCCACGAUGGUUGGGUAAUCUCAAAGGGUUACAACAUAUUGUAAUGCCCAAGAAUCAUCUUGAAGGUCCUAUUCCAGUGGAGUUUUGUCGGCUUGAUUCGCUUCAGAUUUUGGACAUUUCAGACAACAACAUAUCUGGAAGUUUACCAUCUUGUUUCUAUCCUCUUUCUAUCAAACAAGUUCACCUAUCGAAAAAUAUGUUACAUGGACAACUAAAAGAAGGUACAUUUUUUAAUUGCUCUUCCCUUGUGACGUUAGAUCUUAGCUAUAACUACUUGAACGGGAGCAUUCCAGAUUGGAUUGAUGGGCUUUCUCAGUUAAGCCACCUUAACUUGGCUCACAAUAACCUUGAAGGUGAAGUGCCAAUUCAAUUGUGCAGAUUAAACCAACUGCAAUUGUUAGAUCUUUCUGAUAAUAAUCUUCACGGUCUUAUUCCUUCUUGCUUUGAUAACACCACACUUCAUGAAAGUUACAACAAUAAUUCUAGUCCUGACAAGCCAUUUAAAACAUCUUUUUCCAUCAGUGGUCCUCAGGGAAGUGUAGAAAAGAAAAUCCUUGAAAUUUUUGAAUUCACAACAAAGAACAUUGCCUACGCUUACCAAGGAAGAGUGCUUAGCCUCCUAUCAGGACUUGAUCUUUCUUGUAAUAAGCUAGUUGGUCAUAUUCCUCCUCAAAUUGGAAAUUUGACCAGGAUUCAAACAUUGAAUCUAUCACACAACAACUUGACAGGAACAAUCCCUUUAACUUUUUCAAACUUGAGGCAUAUCGAAAGUUUGGAUCUUUCCUAUAACAAAUUGAGUGGGAAAAUCCCUCGUCAACUUGUGGAUUUAAAUACAUUAGCUAUUUUUAUUGUGGCAUACAAUAACUUAUCAGGCAAGAUCCCAGAAUGGACUGCACAAUUUGCAACCUUCAACAAGAGUAGCUAUGAUGGAAAUCCUUUUCUUUGUGGACUACCAUUGCCUAUCUGCAGAUCACUAGCAACUAUGUCGGAGGCUUCAACUAGCAAUGAAGGGGAUGAUAAUUUAAUUGACAUGGACAGUUUCUUUAUCACAUUUACAAUAUCAUACGUAAUUGUGAUAUUCGGAAUCGUUGUUGUUCUAUAUGUGAAUCCUUAUUGGCGACGUAGGUGGCUUUAUCUUGUUGAAAUGUGGAUAACGUCUUGUUACUAUUUUGUCAUAGACAAUCUUAUUCCAACAAGAUUUUGUCAUUGAAAUUAAUAUGUAGUUUAAUUAAGAUCCUUUAAGUUCUAAACAAGUUUGCUUAAGAAAUAAUUUAUUUUUUAAGUACUAAUCAAGUUUGGUUAAGAAAUAAUUUUUUUUUUAUAUUGAAAUUGUAGUAGUAUUGAGCACUAUAUAGCUUCCAACUUCCAAGAACCUAGCAUGUCUCCACACUUAGAAAGCUGGGUGAUUAUGCUUUGCAGAUCUAGAUUUGAAGUAGGAUGGUCCCAAACCCAUAUCUAUGUAUUGUAGCUUACCUAUGAUGUCCAACAUACUUAAACGAGAGCACCAUCUCUAAUGUUAAUAAUAGCCGCUAUAUAGGAUCCUUUUGGAAACUAUAUUCAGAAUCGUUUUAUAAUCAUACAUAGGAAAUGAAAAAUCUUACUGCAAUUGGUUGCCUAUUUUACUCUGAACAAGAACGAUUAUGGCGUUAACAUCAUCUUCUUCACUAGUAGCAUUAACAUCAAACCACGGGAUAGACCCAGACAUUUCAUCAAGAAAGGCAUACAUCUAAUAAAGUUGAAGCUUUGACAAAAAAUUCAAUGGAAGGUCAAUGUCUCGCCACAACAAAGGGCACAACAACAUCAUUCUAGAAGAGAUGAAGCAAUAUUCUCAAAGCUAAAGCUCUCAAAUACACCACACAAUAAUUUCAUAUCUCCUCAUCGAUUUCAAAAACUAAAGAUAAUUAGGAUUUAACAUUGGUUUGUUAUAUAUUAGUUUCAUAAUUUAAAAGCCAAUGAAGAUGAAGAUUAUGCCAAUGAAUUCAAAUUAUACCAUACAUUCUCCGGAUAUCACAAAAAAUUUACAAGUCAAUCCCACAUAUUUCAUAACUUAAAGACUGGAAAGUUUCAUUAGUUAGAAGUUUCAUUACCUUUAAGUAGAAGAUGAAGAAGAACAUUAUGCAAGUGAUUAAGAUUAUAUUAUACAUUCUCCGAAUGCAACUAGAAAUUAACAAGUUCAUGCCACAUAUUCGAUAACAUUAUGAUUGAAAAGCUUGAUAAGGACUUGAGAAAUUCUGAAUUCAACCUUCUGCACUAAGGUUAUUUGAUUGAUUUGAGCUACUUUGUGAUUAAGCUACUAGUACAACAUUUAAUUCAGGGAGGAAAUAAAUUAAAAUUUGGUAGAAAUAGUAAUAAAAAUUUGUUGCUAAACAUGAUGUGCAGUUUUUUUUCUUAAGGCAAUUUGGAAACACAGUUGUUAGUAAAUAUAUUCUCCUCAACUUGGAGAUAAAUACAUAUAUGAAAAUGCCUACGAUCAGAUAAAUACAGAUAUGAAAAUGCAUAUUGUUUGGAAUUUAGAUCUAUUAGAAAUAGAUGUAGGUAAUUAAAAAUUAAAAAUUAAAAAUUAACAGCUUAAUUAUUUCCGGAAGUACUGUUCACUGUUACUGUUCAUGAAUACUGUUCAUCCGCAUAAAAAAUAUUAAUUUUCCAAAAACAUAAUAAAAUGCAGAAAAUAAAUGACACGGAGAUUUUUACGUGGUUCAGAUUAACCAAUCCUACAUCCAUGAGGCCACGCCUAGAUAAAAAGCAAUUCACUAAGUUGAGAUGUUACAACCUAUGGAUUUACCAAACUUAAUACUCUCACUUACAGUUUAUCACCAUACAGUUUACUCAACCUUAGACUAAAUCUGCUUCUCUUGAAUAAUCGCUACCCCUCUUGAUCCACGAUCCUUAAGGCACUUCGCAAAGUGAUCAAUAGCAAUUCUUCAAUUCUUCAAAGUCUAGUGAUCCAAGAUCCACAUAGACUCUCCGCAGAGAUGAACAGAAGAUAAGAAAACAAAUCAACAUAACAUGAUGCGCCAAAUCCAGAUUCUCUGGGGAGGACGCCGAAUUUUGCUUCUGUGCUUUAUGCUCUGUGUUGUGCCAUCUUCAAUUGUGAAAUACCUCUCUUUAUAUAGGCACUAGGAUUUCACCAAAAUAGCAAGUCUUAAAAGACUUGGAUUCUUUCCAAAUAAGAGUUUCUUUCCUCUUAUAAUUCCCAUGAAUUUGAAUAGGAAUAAAUCUGAUCUUCUUGCCUUGCUUGUCUCCCAAGAAAUAUCUAGAGCAUUUAAUGACUUCCUGUUUGAACCAACUUUUAGCUCUAAAUAAAUCUCAUGCGCCAAUUAUAGAAUCCCACCAUUAAUUGACUUGCUAAAAUAGACAUCUAAUUAAAUUAGGAAACAAAUAUUCCUAAUAAAUUGGAAUCUCACUAAAUUAGGGAAUUAAUAAAUUAAUCCCUAUUACAAGAUAUGCAAUAAAUAAACUUCUAAUUUAAUUAGACUUGCCAUAAAAUAUCAACUCUAUAAAUAAUGACCUUAACACAUAUGAUCACACAUAUUACUUGCAACUUAGCAAGAUUUAAUUAAGGGGAGCAAUCAAACCACUUAUCAGUUGUCGUAGUUGUUCUAUAAUCUAAAAUGGCAAUAUAACACAAGAAAAAGAUAACAUAUAGAUACUUGGCAAGGGUUCAUUAAGAAGUCGCAUCACAUUCGGGUGAUGAGUUUGCUUCUGAUAUCUUGCUAGCUGCGGCUUUCUCCUGUCUUUCUACUCAUGCUGAGGGAAACCAACAAGCCUUGCCUUUGCAUUCACCUUCCGACCAUCUAGGAGGAGCCACCUUGAGAAUUUAUAGCCAAAAAGGGUGAAUAAAACAGAAGUUGACCAUUCAAAGACUUGAGGUGAAAUAAUUGAAGCAAAAUAGGAUAAUUCUUUGACUUAGAAAGAGUGAAUUAGUUGUAAUUACUCAAAUAACUGCAUUAACCAUGGAAGUUUAACAAGAUAUAAAUUCACGUGAAAUUCUUAAAUGAAAAUAUAAGAUUAGGGCUCCUCAAUUUGCUUUUAAAUCAGCUAGACAGCUAAGAGUGUUUUGUAGGUGAAAGUAGUUUGUAUAAGCAUAUAUUUAAUUUUUUAGCAAUUCAGUAAGAGUUAAAUCCUUCUUAAUCAUCAAAAUAUGCAGAUUUAUUGCGCCCCUUUGAACAAAGAAUAUAGCAAUUUCAUUAGGAUUUAUUGUCAAAUUAGGCAAUGCACAACAAAGAUUUUUUUAAAAACAAAUCACCUAUUAAAAGAACACACAUAUAAAGUAUCCACAAAAUUACUCCAUUCUACAACGAAUUAUAAAUUGCUCUCUCACUUGUAUUUUCUCUCUCUUCCAUCAAUCCGUUUAUCUUAUCAAUACAAGAAAAAAAAGAAUACUUGACAUUUUUUAUUUGACAAUUUUUAAGAAAUAUCAAAUAUAUAUGACAUUUUGUGAAAAAUUGAGUAAUUGUGAAAUAUAAAUGACAAUUUAUUUAAACGUCAAAUACUAAUGAUGUUUUACCAAAUAAGUAGAAAAUAUAUUAUAUUUUUAUUGAAUAAUUACCAUUUACCUUUUCCUUUUAUUGACUUAAGAAAAAAACAAAAAACGCACUAUACUGCCUUUGUCUCGUUCUUAGAACAUAUUUGUUUCUUUUAAGAAAAUUCAAACUCGUUCCCCUUGCUUUCUUUUCAAUAAUCACCUCACAUUUUUAUCAAUCACUCAAUUUCGAAUUUCAUCUCAAUCCUCUCUCGAAGAAGAACGCACAAAGAAUUUCAGCUUGCUUUAGCCUCAUUUGCUUCUCGAAUUUCAGGUAUUGUUUCCUUUAAUUUUGAUAAUUUGUUUCUACUUCUCUCUUUCUGGUUUGAUAAUUUUAGGGUCAUAGUUGAAUUAUUUGUAUUUUUAAACAAUCUAGGGUUGAUUUAAUUGAUUCCAAGUGUCGUAUCUGUUCUGCUAUUUGAAUGCACAUUACUUGUUUGAUGAAAUGUCUCUUUAAAAGAUUAUUUUUUUUAACAAGCAUCUUAUUGAGAUGUUUCUCGUGAUAAUAUUAACGUAAUGCACUUAGCUUCAAUUUGGUAUGUUUAAUACAUUUUAACAAAGGAAAAUUACAGAACUGCAACAAUUCUCAAAUUGCUUGCAGAUUAGAAGUAAUGUUAUUGAUUUUUAUUAAUUAAUGAGAUUUUUAUUUAUUGAGUCUGUAAACUCACUAUAAGAAGUGAUUAUUGCUAUAAUUUGGUCUGUUUCAUACAUUUUCAUUCUCAUUAUAAAUGACGGUCAACUCUCAUUUUUUUCAUCAAUCACUCAAUUUUAAAUUUCAUCUCCAUUCUCUCUCGAAGAAGGACCCACGAAGAAGUUCAGCUUGCUUCAGCUUCAUUUGCUUCUUGAAUUUCAGGUAUUUUUCUUUUAAUUUUGAUAAUUUUUUUUAAUUCUCUCUUUCUAGUUUGAUAAUUUUAGUGUUAUACUUGAAUUAAUUGUAUUUUUAAUUGAUACUAAGUCUUAUAUCUGUUCUCAUUCAACAAAGAAAGAACGCACAAAUAAUUUUCACUUUCAUUCUCAAUUUUGAAAGAAUCAAUUUAUUUUAUAAACUAUAUUAGACACACUCUAGUUGCUUAAUUAGUAAAAUUGUAAGCUCAUUGCCUUAUUUUUUGGGGUUAAUUCUAUAAUUUUAUCAGUUGUUCUUGUGGUUGCAAACAAUAUCAUUUUUUAAUAUUAAUAAAACUAAAUGAAUAUUAUGUGAUACAUUUGCAGGAAAGUUAAUAGUUUAAAUAUGGAUAAAUCUUGGAUGUUGAUGGAUAGAAGGUUUAUAGAAUAUGAAAAUGGGGUAAAUGAGUUUCUCAAGUUUGCAAUACUUCAUGCUAGUAAUCCUGAACUUUUAAGAUGUCCAUGCCAAGCAUGUGGUAAUUUGGUCUUUCAUGUACCUGUUGAGAUAAGAAAUCAUCUUUAUUGGAAAUGUAUUGACCAAAGCUAUCAGACAUGGACUUGGCAUGGAGAAAGAGCUUCUAGUAGACGACCAUCAAAUGUAAAAGCUUCAUUUGAUGGCAGUCAACAAGAUGAUGAAGCUGCUGAUACAGUAGAAAUGGUUAAUGGUGCAUUUGACACUUGUAAUGGUGACCCCAAGUCUUUCGAAACUCUACUUAAAGAUGCUGAAAAACCUUUGUUUCCUGGCUGUGUGAAAUUCACUAAGUUAUCGGCCUUAAUAAGGCUUUACAACAUUAAAGGAAGAAAUGGAUGGUCAAACAAAAGUUUUUCAGAUUUACUAAGUUGUUUAUCAGAUAUGCUUCCUGAUAAAAAUGAAAUACCUUUAUCUGUAUAUGAAGCAAAGACGAUUAUGGUUGCAUUAGGCUUAGAAUAUGAAAAAAUACAUGCAUGUCCCAACGAUUGCAUCCUAUAUAGAAAAGAAUAUAAGGAUUUAUCUGCAAGUCCCACUUGUGGAAUGUCAAGAUGGAAGAGUCCCAAUAAAAGUAAGGGAAUUCCUGCUAAAAUCUUAUGGUAUUUUCCUCCUAUACCAAGGUUUAAGAGGAUGUUUCAAUCUCUUCGAAUCGCAAAAGACUUAACUUGGCAUGCCAAUGAAAGGGUGAUUGAUGGCAAACUACGUCACCCAGCUGACUCACUGUCAUGGAGGCUAAUGGGCCAAAAAUGGCUAGAUUUCGCUGCAGAAGAAAGAAAUCUUUGGCUGGCUAUUUCUACAGAUGGGAUAAAUCCCCAUAAAACUUUCGCAGUUCGUAUAGUUGUUGGCCAAUUGUUAUGAUUACUUAUAAUCUUCCUCCUUAGUUAUGCAUGAAGAGAAAAUUCAUGAUGUUGACUAUGCUAAUAUCUGGUCCACGACAGCCCGGUAACGAUAUUGAUGUCUAUUUGUCACAACUGAUUGAUGACUUGAAAACUUUGUGGGAAGUUGGUGUCCAAAUUUAUGAUGCAUAUAGACAAGAAUUAUUUACUCUACGGGCUGUCUUGUUGUGGACAAUUAGUGAUUUUCCUACUUAUGGGAACUUGUCUGGAUGCUCAAUUAAAGGAUAUUUUGCAUGUCCUAUAUGUGGGAAAGAUACACAGUCCUAUAGACUUAAGCAUGGGAAGAAAAAUGUGUACAUGCGCCAUAGGCGAUAUCUCCCAGAAUCUCACUUGUUUCGAGAUUUAACAAAGGCUUUUGAUGGUAAACCAGAAAGAGACUUUCCUUUUAAGCCGUUAAGUGGUGAAGAAACAUUAAGAAAGGUUGAAGGGAUUCAAAACUCAUGGGGGAAGAAAACUAGAAAGCGUAAAAAAUUAGAUUCUGAUGAAAAAAUUUGCUGGAAAAAGAAAUCAAUAUUUUUUUCUCUCCAGUAUUGGAAACAUUUGCAUGUUCGCCAUAUGUUAGAUGUAAUGCACAUUGAAAACAAUGUGUGCGAAAGUAUAUAUGGUACAUUAUUGAACAUUCCAGGAAAAGCAAAAGAUGGACUUAAUUCUUGGUUGGACCUUGUUGAUUUCAAUAUUAGGAAAGAAUUAGAAGGGAAUCACACUUAUUUACCUGCUGCAUGUUAUUCAUUGACUAGAGCGGAAAAAGUAAUGUUUUGCGAAACAUUAUUUAAUCUGAAGGUUCCUGAAGAAUACUGUUCAAACUUUAAAAAUCUUGUAUCAAUGAGUGAUUUAAAGCUUAUUAGGUUGAAAUCUCAUGAUUGUCAUGCUUUGAUGCAACAACUCCUACCAUUGGCUAUUCGAGGAAUUUUGCCAUAACAUGUUAGAUAUGCCAUCACUAGAUUUUGCUUUUUCUUCAAUGAUCUUUGUAGCAAAGUUGUGGAUGUAGAGAAGUUAAACCAAAUACAAAAGGAUCUUGUGGUCACAAUUAAUUUAUUUAAAAUGUAUUUCCUUCCUGAAUUUUUUGAUAUCAUGGUUCAUUUAAUUGUGCAUCUUGUUAGAGAAGUCAGAUUAUGUGGGCCUGUAUAUCUUAGAUGGAUGUAUCCCUUUGAAAGAUUUUUAAAAGAUCUAAAAGGGUAUGUGCGGAAUAAAAAUCAUCCCGAAGGUUGUAUUGCUGAAUGUUACAUUGUAGAGGAGGCAUUGCACAGAAUAUUUACCCAAUGUGGAUCCAAUUGGAAUUCCAAUUGCAAGGACGAAUAAUAUAGAAACUGAGGGUCCGCUUCUUGGUGGUCGUUUAAGUGAUAUUGAUCGCGACGAAUGGAAGCAAGCACACCAUUAUGUUUUGCGAAACACACAAGCAGUUCAACCUUACAUUGAGUAAGUUUUCUUAUCUUAACUUUAUUAAAACCAUGUAGAUUCAUCACUAAUAUAUUCGUUUUAUUAUGAAUCUUAAUCUUAGGAUGCAUAUGACAUGGUUGAAAUUGAAUUAUCCUCGCCAAUCUAAAAACAAGAAGUGGUUACGAGAUGAACAUGCUCGAAACUUCAUUUACUGGUUACAAGAAAAUGUUUAAUAAACUAUUUCCUUUUAUUUCUGAAAUUUCUAUAAAAUGUUAUGUAUAGGCAUAAUUUCAACUAUUUUCUUUUCUAAAUUUUAUAGGUUUCAAAUGGUAACGAUAAUCAGUCAUCCAAAUCAUCUUUAUUGAAAUGGCUAGUACAAGGACAUUGGCCUCAUGCAUUCUUAUAUCCUGGUUAUCUUAUUAAUAAUUACCGUUUUCACAUAAAAGAUCGUGAUAAUGAUAAAACCACUCAAAAUAGUGGAGUGACUCUUGUAGCUGAAACAGAGCAAAUUACAAGUGCCAAGGACAAGAAUCCUAUUUUUGGAGAAAUGCCUUACUAUGGAGUCAUUAAAGAGAUAUGGGUGCUCGAAUAUCACAUGAUCCAAAUUCCCAUAUUUAAGUGUGAUUGGGUUGAGAGUCAUAGUGGUGUUAAAGUUGAUGAGCUUAGGACAAUCUUAGUUGACCUUAAUCGUAUAGGUCAUAAAUCAGAUCGUUUUAUUCUAGCCUCACAAGCAAAGCAAGUCUUUAACUGACCAACUAGAUCCAAGGUGGUCAGUUGUACUCCAUUUCCCUAAAAUGAUGCCAAAUCCUGAAAAUUUUGAGAAAGGGGAGAAGGACAGUAAGAAUUACAAGCGUGAUGAUGGUGAGAAGAUCUGGAUUCAUAAUAAAACAAUUAGGAAAGCUUAAUUGUUUGUGUUGUAAAGUAAGAAUGUAGUUUAUUGUUUCUGAAUUUUAAUGAUUUCACUUCUUUGCUUAUUUAAAUUAAUUAUAGUUAAUGAUGUCCUAAUAGCUAAAUUAUCUAUUGAUAUGUGACAAAUGAGUACUUAAUAUUGGAUUGUGCUUUUGCAGGAUUAUGACCAUGGAGGAAUAUGAUGAUGAUAUUAUGUCCAUGGAUGAUAUAGAUGAUGUUGAUGCUGAUGUAGAAGAUCUUGAUUUAGAAGACUUUGAUACUAAUAAGAAGAUACAUAAGACUAGAGGAAUUGUCAAGAUGGAGAGUGUUACUAAGAAUCGUAGUGAUGGGAAGAGAGAGAGUUAGAUUUAAUAGCGAUGGACAAUUGGUGGGUGAAGAGAGACAUAAUGUUAUUAGUACAAUUGGUGCUGUCACUAAGACAUUAGUUUCCAUUCUUUCGAUGGAUUUGCGAAAAGUACCAAAGAAUUCAAAAGAAAAAAAAUAUGGGAAUACAUUCAGGUAUGCUUUAUAAACAUAUUAUGCAUUUUGCAAAGGCAUGAAAAUUUUUUUUAAACUGUCUUUAUAUUUCAUGUCUUACAGAGUUCGUUUGAUGUGGAUGAUCGAUUUAAAAGACAAUGUUUGCAAAUUGCUUGAAGUUCAUUUCGUUCUUUUAGAUAUAAUCUCACACAACAUGUAAAAAAAUACAAAGCCUAUCCAAAUCGUUUGCGUAACCCACCACUAUUGUACUCUUUCAUACAAAAAGGUCAUUGGGAUGCAUUUGUUAAUGAUCGAUUAUCUAAAGAAUUUAAGGUAAUCCUUUUUUAUUAUUGUGAACAUUAUUUUUUUAUAUUUUAUUUAUGUCAAUGCUAAUAAACAUAUGUAUUAUAUGCAUUAGACACUUAGUGGCCUUCAAAAAGAAAGACGAGCACUAAAUCUUUACAACCAUCACCUUGGUUGAAAAGGUUAUAAUGGAUUAGAAGAAGAAAUAGUAAGUAUUUUUUUCAUAAAAAAUUAUAAUUAUUUUUAGCAGUUGAUGUAUGUUUAACAUUGGUCACAUUGCUAUUGGAAUUAGAAAAAAGAAUGUGGAAAUCCCAAUUUGAAAGUGGAUAGAAGUGUAGCAUGGAAAAGGGCUCGUCAAAACCCAAAUGGUGGAUAUCAUCUGGUUGUGAUACCUGUUGUGGAUACAAUUGUAAGUAUAAUAUUCUUUGAGCAAUUUUCCAUCAAUUCCUUGUAUGUUGCAUGAAUAAUCACUACUAGAAAAACAGGCUACCAUGACAGAGAGUAUCUGUCAUCCGACCCCCCUUAUGAGUUAUGACAGAGUUUUCAUCUAUCAUUGUAGCCCUUGUGAUAAAUCCGAGACAAUAUUUUAUCUAUCACAUGUUCCCAUGACAGUGUAUAUCUAUCACGCAUACAUCACGAACCAAGCGAUGUCGUUUUGCAAGGCUUUUGAGAAUUAGUUGGAAAUUUUAGCAAGUAAUUUAAAUUAUAUUGAAUUUGGUGGGCUUUUUCAAAAUCUUUCAUAUAUUAAUGAUUCACAUUCUCUGUCAUGAGAUUUAAGGUUUUAAAAAAUAAAAUUAUUAUUUUUAAUUUUGAAAUUAUAAUAAUACUAAUUAAUAUUAUUUAAAUUCCAAAAUUUUGAAAUAGAAAUAACAAAAGCCACAUUUUAAAAUUUGAAUUAACUGAAAUAAAAAUUACAUUCAAAUUCAUAAAAACUAUCGAAUACCAAAUAUCACCAUAUACUAAAAAUUUCAAUUACUUGAAACUUCCAACAAAUAGCAUCAUCAAAAUACGUGGUGAAUCAAAUCCGUAACAAUAGCUCAUAAAUUCUCUACAAUAUUCAAUCACUACCCCAUCAUUAGAAAAACAAUUAAUCUGGAAAAAGAACACUGAUAGUAAAUUCACAAGAGCCACCAACAUCACCUGAAACACAUAUUACAUUUAGAUGAGUGCCAGAAGAAUAUAUAUUAGCGUAUUGGCCACUUACAAUUAAUCCAAUUCAUGAUGAAGUAUUUUUCCAAGAUUACAAAUUAAUUAAUGCACAACAUCUAACAACAUAAAACCUCUGUUACAUAAUUAAAUAAAAUUCAUCAAAAUUCUAUCCUCUAUCCUCUUCUCUUGAUUCCCCUGUUCUCCUAAAGUUUCACCAUCCUUUUCUUUAUUUCUACUCUUUUUUUUUUCAAUCUUCUCUUUAUUUUUCUUCCACUGUACUUGUUCAAAUUUGUAUAUCAAUCUAAGUUCUAAAACACAUAUAUUACACUGAGACUCCAAGCAACGCAAAUCCAUUUAACUUGUUCAUUAGGGCAAGACAAUCUUGGCUAAGAAGCAGCAUGUGGAAGUAUUUCAAAAUGACUAGAGAAAGACUUGCUCUAGAACUAUGGAAAUUAGCAUAUAAAAAGAAAUAGAAAAACACUAAAUAAACAAACCACCCAAAGAUUUCAUCACAUAAAGCAAGGGCAAAUUAUGUGAGAUUUCAUCACAUCAUCACAUGAAGCAAGGGCAAAAUUAUUAUCACAUCCCACUUCACACAACUCAUUACAUACCUUACCUCAUGGCAUUACCUCAAGAACAAAUACUCUGAAAAAUCACGGAUAUCAUUUGGCCUGGAAUGAUCAGCAGAAAACAAAAACGUUAACAAAGUGCUGCAGCAAUGAUAUCAGCACAAUUUCAAACUUAGAUAGAAUCUCACUUGGGGAGUCCAAUAUUCUCAUCAAACCUUUGACUUUUAUAAAAUUUCACCAGAUGGAGCAAACCAGCUCAAUCAAUUUCCUAUACAAUAGUGUGUAUUUAUCAUAUAUCAAUAUUGAGAACUGGUAAGUGCAACAUGGUCCACAAACCAAAACAUUUCCAAUUAAUAAAGCACAAUAUGUGACAAAUCAAAUAAAAAAAAAAAAUCUUCCAAAAAGUUCAACAUGUCAAUUAAGAGAAAAAUUAUAGGAUUCAUAUCAGUGCAUCCAUAAAUGGCCUAGUUUCUCUGUCAACAAGUUAGUUAUAAGCACAAGUCAAAAUAAAUCAUUUCACUGAAAUGCUAGAAGACCAAGCAAAUAAGCACAAUCACCACCACACAAAGCAUUUGCAUUUCCAAAAAUGUAGUUCACAAAGAUUUUACAGAAGAUAUCUUUCUAAUAGAAAAACACAAGCACCAAUCAAUUGUAAUGGGUUUGAGAACUACGAAAGUAAUUUUCACAGUUGAAGAAUAGUUUCUCACAAAAAUUCACUUUAUGCGAAUACCUCUGGUGAAUAGAUUUUGCAUACAUUUUGGUAACAUACAAUAUUGGACCUACCAUGUGCUCAAUAUAUUUAAUAAAUAAAGGUGAGAAUAAUAACAAUACCUUAGAUAUUGUAUUAGCUAAGGCAAACGUUGCUUCAAUCCGAACUCUUCAAAAGGCCUAGAAACAACAGAAAAAUUCCUUAAUUGUAUUUCAUUAAAAGUAAGUCAAAUCAAAACCACAUAUACCUCUAAAUUUGGUUAACUUGUCACUAAGGAAAUUAUUCAGUGUGCCAACAACAUUGAAAGAAAGACAGGGCAGAGAGUCUAGACUGCUGUAAUUGGUCGUACCUGAGCAACAACAUCUCCAUUCUUCUCUAAUUGAUUUAUCUAAUAAAUCAAAAUAGUCAUGCAAGAUUGUUAUCCAGUUAAUUAAGUAAACAUUGUUAAAAGUUUGUAUCGUCACCAUCUACUCAAUAAAGAACAAUAAAGAAGUAAAAACAGAGAAGCCAUCACUCCACACCCAAAAAGUUUCUCUCACUUUCUCGCCAGCCAAACACUCCUUUUCCUCCCUCAAAACCUCGUCUUACCACUCAAAACUCACUAAAUUUCAGCUCAAAUUCUGUUACAAUUUUACCCUAAGUCGAAGACGUAGCAGCUAACUCACCGUCUUUCUGACGUCGCCAACUCCUCGCAGUACAAUCUUCUCCGAUCCGACUCCACGUAAAUAGCACGCUGCCACUCACUUGUCACGGAAUCGUUCCACGAAGGCCGUAAAGCGGAGUCAUUGGCACGUUAGUCCACGAACUCGAAGUCAGUCCCUUAAGGCCAUGGAGCGGCUUUAUUUUUUUCCUUUUUUUGGCAUAAUUUUAGGGAUUUUGAUAAAUUUAUGUCGAUGGUUGUCUCUUUAAAAAAAAAGAACUCAUCACUUACCUCUCGCGAAAGAAGUCAAUAACAAUGGCUCGAACUUGAAGAAUAUCGGUUGUUCAAGCUAUAAAAUCUUAGUUAAAGAAAACAAACAAAGGGAAAUGGGAAUAGCUAGCAAGCAGUGGAGUGGGGAUGAAGAUGACGACAAAUAUGAACAACAGCAAUUUGUUGUCGGCAAGUGUGAUAGUGUAUUUUUGUGUGAUUCGGUUUGGAUGUAGAGAUUAGGGUUUUCUGUGUGAAGUUCAAAAGAGUGUCCAAUACUCUUAGAUUUUUUUUUAAAGGCUUCAAGACACGGUGUCGUUCAAUGCCCAAAUUGGCCAAUCUUAAACUCACCGUUUCAUUACUAUAUGAAUAUGCUAUCAUGUGCAAGUGACAGAUAAAGAAACUAUCACAAAUCUAUCAUGCAUUGCUGAUAUAUGAAAAUUCUAUGAAAAUUCUAUCAUGUGCGUGUCAUAUUUUUGUGAUAAAUGACUAAUUUUCUGAUAUCUAUCACAAAAAUUCUGUCAUAGUAGCCUAUUUUUCUUGUAGUGAAUGGUCUUAUAUUCUUGUAGGAUGAGUUGACCCAGCUAGCAAAAUUAGGGGUUAUAACCACAUCUAGUGAGAAUGAUAUUUUGGCCCAAGCAUUAAAGAAGCCUGAGCGUAAUGGGCGUGUUACAAGGAAGGGAAGAGGAGUCAACCCAUCUUCUUUCUUUCACAAUGUUAAUUUAGAAUCUGAUUGGCAAAGAGAGAAGAGGCUAUUGAAUGAAAAAAUAGUGAAGAUGCAAGCUAUUAUUCAUGAUCUCUCAAAAUCUUCACCAAAAGCAAGACACUCCAAUGUCUGUAGCAACAUAUUUGGAUCACAAGAUGUAUCUAAUGAGACAAAUAACAAAACAGAUCCAAUUUUUGAAAAGCAAAAAAAUUAGGUAUGCACACUCAAGUAAUUAAAUUAAUCUUUUGAAUUUAUACUUUAAGUGCAUAUUUAAUAAUCUUAUUACUUUUUUUUGUUAGGAUCAAACUUGUCAGUUGGCUGUAGGAUGUAAAGAAAACAUUGUUGCUAUUGGAACUAUUUUGGAGUAUAGGAAGCCAAAUGUUUUAGUUGUAAUUGAUAUGGUAUUAAGUCCAGAUGCCCAUCUUCCAAUCCGGACUAGUGAGCUUGUUCAGUGUUUACGUCAGUGAUGGGUUAGGACAACACAUAUUAUGGCCAGAAAAGUUUGUUUCCCAGCUGCUGUAGUAAACAAGGUAUUGAAUUUGGCAUAUAUUACUUGUUUUUUUUAAUUCCUUAAUUGAGAAUUUAAAUUGUAACCACAUGUGAAUGCUUAAAUUUCUAGAUGUCUAAGUCAGCUUUAAAGCCUUCCAAGGGGAAAUUAGAUGUGAAUGCUGAAGUAAACACCCCAUUGAUACCUGGCCUAUGUUACUAGCUUUAAUUCUUGUUUUAUUUCUUUAUUUAAAAUUUAAGUAAUAAUCAUAUUUGAAUGUUUGCAUUUCUAGGUGUCUAAAUCAGUCAUCAAGCCUUUUAAGGAAAAAUUAGAGGUGAAUGAGGAAGUAAACUCUCCCAUAGUUCAGCAAACAUUUAAAAAAACCUCCUGACAUACAAGUUUUUGAUAAAAUGGUAAAGAAAGUUAUGAAACCUGGUUCCCAAGUUAAGGUUGAUUUUGAGAACACAUUUAGUUACAAAUUGCAUACAUAUCUCACUUUGGAGGAAAUUCAAGAUCUUAUUGAUAUGCAAGAGCUUUCACAAAACAGCAUUGUUGUAUACAUGAGGUAUGAUACUUCAAUAAUGCUUUAUAUUUUGUCAAAUAUUUUUGUUUCACUUUAAUUGACCUAGCACUUUUUCUUAUAUACUAGAUAUCUUUGUGCUGAAACAAAGGCCAGGCUAAUUAAUGAAAAGUUUGAGUUCAUUCAUCCUACCACUCUUUCUUUUUUGGAUGAGAGUACUUUCAAACAGAAAGCAAAAACUCUUGCUAAUCGCUUCCAAGAAUUGAGUGCAAAACAAUUUAUCUUCUUACCAUAUAAUCCUAGGUUAGUUAUUUUGUUGCUUUAAAUAUCUUUGUUUAUCUACUUAGUUUUUACUUUUUAAUUAGUAUUUUUUUCUAACUCUUUAUUCAUUUGUUAAUAGUUGUCAUUGGAUCUUGCUUGUGAUCGACUUGCCCUCAAUGGUUGUUCAUUAUUUGAAUUCAGUGAGAAAUGAAAUCAGUGUUGAUAUAAAAAAAAAUUGUAACUGUGUAAGUAUAUUAAAGAUAUUUAGCAAUAAGUAUACUAGUGGUUUUUGCUAUAUAUAUAAUUAUUGAGUUUAAUAUUUCAUAUUUGAUUUGUAUUUUUUUGUAGUGGGAUUCGAAUGUUUCUUGCCAAAAAAGGACAGCAAAUGAAAAAGAUUAAUUUGAAAUGGAAUGAUGUUAAGGUGCCUAUGCAAAUUGGUAAUGUUGAAUGUGGCUACUAUGUCAUGCGAUUCAUGAAGGAGAUUAUUGCAUAUCAAAGUAUACUUUGUGCAAAGGUUAGAUCAUUAACAUAGCUUAAACUUAUUGCAGAUUUUACAGGGAAAUGUGGUUAAAAUGAAGUCUAUGAAUUAAAAGAGUGACAAAUAAAUAUAGUUUUUUGUCUAUUGAUGUUAGUUUAAUGAAAAAGAUACUUAUGAUGAAGAUGAGAUCAACGAAAUUCACUUUGAUUGGACAACUUAUGUUAGUGACUUGAUUUGAAAAAAAAAAUGCAAAAGAGACAAGUAAUGCAGGUAAAUAGCAUAUGAUUCAAUUGAAGUACAUUAGUUUAUUGUUAAUAUUUUUCAUGCAUAGAUUUUUCCUUCUCUUUGUGCAUAGAUAUCUUAUGCUUUCAUUGCAUAAGGCAACUAUAUCAUCUAGUUGGAUUCAUAAUAAAAGCUCUCAGUUAAUUCAAUCAAAAUUUGUCAAUGCCUUAUUGGUAACCAUGACUUACUUUUUUAGCCUCUUCCUUAGACAGUAACAAUAGUAUAUGGCAGUAAUUUUGGUUUCUUGAUGUGUAGGGCUAUGCCGUGGAGUUAUAUAGAUCUCAAGACCAAGACACAUUUACAAUCAAAGAGGAUAUAAGGGUUAUAAAAUAUCAGAUCUAUUGGGUUAAUGCAAAAUUUGUUUAAAAGCUUUUCCUUUUGUAUGUACAACGCUGCUAUGAAAAACUUUUGGACCGAUGGUGGAAUGCUAACUAUAGGCUCAAUGUAUAGUUUUAGAAACAACAUCUUAUUUUAGAUUUAUACUUAAGACAUUUGAUACAUUUAUACGUACAAUGCAAGUUCAAGUUAAUAUGAAUUCAGGUUUCCUAUGCUUUAUUAUGGUGUUUGAAGUUAGUUGAAAUUUUUUGAAUUUUAUCAUGUUUCAAUGUUAUAACAUAUAUAAUGUGCAGCCCAAGACAAGGAAUUUCACUAUUGUAAUUUUUUUUUUAAAUUAUAAUAUUUGAUAUUUUUAUCAAGUCAUUUGCAUUUGACCAUUUUGAAUAAUGUCACAUGCAUAUGACUAUUAUUAAGUGUCAUACACAUUUGACAAUCUUAUAUUGUGAAAAAUAUUUGAUUAUUAUUAAUUGACAAAAAUAAAUGACAAUUUUACUAAUUGUCAAAUAAGCAUAUUUGACACAGGAAUAUUUGGCACUUUUUAAUUGUCAAAUAUUCCUUUAUUUGACAGUUUUUAAAUAUUAAUUAUUCUCUUUUUUCUUAUAGUGUAUAGAAAUUGGUUUAGUCAGCAACAACCCCUAUAAUCCUUGAAAUAAAAUUUUUUAUGUAAUUUUCUAUAAAUUUCAACAAUACUUUAAACUGGAGCCAAGAUCAUGUUUGAUUUCUAGACAAAAUAAUCAAUCAAACAUAAAAAUUCAUAGUUUAGAGGGGUAAACUGGGUGGUUUAGAACUGAGCUAGCAACCUUAUUAUAUUUUGAUUUGCACUUCAUUGUAAAAGGGAAUAUAUUAUAGGAAAAAAGAAAACCAAUCAUCAUUUGUUAACUCAUUGCUUUUCAAUCAAAAUUUUAAGAAUAAAAUGCCAUGUGCUUUGAAUAUCAAAUAAGUAUAAACACUAGUUUUAAAUUCUACAUAUAAUAAGUUAUAGCAUAAUAGAAAAAUCUAUAUGCUGUUACUUGGACCAGUAAAGGGGAAAAUACCUGGCGAACCACAACAUAAUCAUCAACUGAUAGACUUAGCUCCCUAUCUGCUUGAGCAUCAAAUGGAUGUAUAACCUACAAGAUAAUGGGAUAAAUAAAACUUAAUCUUGAAAAGAAUAACAAAAGCAGCAGCAAUAGCAGUAGUGUUUAUUAUAAGCACUAUGAUUAUGGCCAACAAGGAUACAUUAGAAACACUAUUUUUAUUAGGAAAAUAAUAUGUAGUACAAGAUAUCAUGACUGUUGGGUUUCCAAGAGCUAUCAGAGCUCCACAAGUUCUAUAUGACUUUAUGUAAUUGUUUAAAUUAUGGAUGGGAUUUUAAUUCUGAAAUUUUGAUUGCUCUCCACAAAACAUGGCCUAUGCCACAAGAAAGUCAUAGAUAAUGAGGGUUACAAGUGUCCAACAUCUUUCGAGUGAUGGAUUUAAUAUGACAGCUUAUGGUCAGUCAAUUUCCUCUGCUUAAUAAGAUAAGCUUUCUAGGUCAGAUUUUUCAUCAAAUACAUAGAUGGCCCCCAAGUCACAUCCAUACAAACAUAGUUUUCUGAGUAAACCAAGUAAGGAGAAUUAUAAUUCAGCCACAAUCAUAGAAAGGACCCAUCUAACUUAAGAGAAAAUUUUAAGAAGAGGGAUCAUACUAUGAGCUAUCAAUCUUGUAUCUAUAAGCAAAUAUCAAGACUUUAGAUCACCUGCUACAUCGUGAGUGGCUACACAACUUUGCGGUGGUUUGUCUUUCUUUGGCAUGUCUAACUCAGCUUUGAUGUUGUUGAGAUAUUGGCAGCAGAGACACAUGAUACUUCUAGCUAUACAUUCUAUCUAGCUCAUCAUGCAACUAUCUCUUUUUAAUCCAUUAGGGUUGGCUAAAACUCUUGUUUAAAAGUCUUGUUCUCCUAAACAAAGUUUCCCUAAGAAUGACUUCUUCAGCACCACAUUUUGACACUUUUUAGAGCAAUUUUAUUUGGGGAAAAGAAUUUUCAAGGUGUUAACUAAUAAAUUUUAAAAGAUAGUCACGACUCUGUCCCGUAAUCAUAUGACAAUUUAUCUGGGAUGAAAGGACACAGACAAACAUCUUCCACUUUCAAGACUAAUCACUACUUUCAUAAAUGUUGUGCAAUAAUAAAAAUCCUUGACCAGAUGGUAGUGAUAGUAGAAAAGAAUUUUAUUGCUCUAGAAUUAAAAUAAGAAUGUAAUGUGUUAAGCGAAAGACUGUGCGAGAUAUCUACAUAAGGAGGAGUGUUAAAAUAUGAUGCAUCCAACAAAAGACAAGCCUUGUGUAGUCUUUUAAUUAAGCCAAAGUAGCAGCUCAAACAAAUGACACUUGGACCAACAUGCAAGCAUGAAGUAGUCGGAAAAAGGACGAAUGAUACUUUGGCCUAAAUUAAAAAGUUAUUACAAGACAACAGAAAUCACUAUCAUUGUAAAAUAAGUUGGCAAUAAGUAAGAUGAAGAUAAGAGGUAGAAUCUCAACACAUGCAUAGGCAUACACAAGAAAGUAUUAACUUAUAUACCAUAGCAAAGAGUCUUUGAUAGGUCAUCUGUUGCUGCUGUGAUUCAACUGACAACAUAUAUGGUAGUUGUCGCUUCUGUGCCAAGAGCCAUAACUGUAGAUUUAAGCUCGGUCAAUUUUGCUUCUGCAUUUCGAAGCUUCAUAGCACUCUCUGCUGAUAGAUCAGAUCCCUUAAUUUUUUAUCAGCGCCUCAAUACUUCAGCUACAUGGUGAAAAUAUUCAAUAUGAAUCUAAUAUAAUUCUCAUCUCCCCUUAUACAUAUGUUACCUUAAAGCUUACUUGGGCUUCAACUUCAUGUAGGAGUUUGUCAUAACAAUGAGUCAUGUUGCGUAAAUUAGCAAGGGCACUAGUCGGCACAAGUAAUAUAAUGAAAAAUAGAAUAUCGUCCCAUAGAGAUUAUAUAUCCUAUUAACUACCGAAAUUAUUCUAACAAUAAUAUAUUUGAAUAACCGAAUAAAUGAAUUUAGAUUAAUAAUUAAAUAAAAUAAAAUAACUAGAAAAAUUAAAUAAAGAUGUAUGCAGUAAUAGAAAUCACUAAGAUAUGAAGACACUAGCACAUCGAAUUUCACCAUAACCAAUCCAAUUUAAUCCUUCAUCUAUGUUAUUAAUGUUUAUUACCCAUGUUGACAGUGAAUUUUCCUAAUCUAUUUAAUAUCCUCUCUCGAGUAAUAUAAAAAAUACUUCACAUAUUAACCCACUAUAUCUCUAUGUGAAUUUAAAUAAGCAAAAAUUCAUUAAGCUCUACGGAAAUUCUUAGAAAAACUGCGUGAACCACAUUGGCACAUCUCUGUCUUUCCUUCAGUUCAUGGCAUCUAUUACGCAAACAAAAAAUAUAUAAAUCUCCUCUUGGUCUCAUUAUGUAUCCUCAAGUCAUUCAAAUAUUUGCCAGAUAUUUAAGGGUACGUUGGGCACACAAUACUGUAUUAUGUUGUAUUGCAUUAUUUUAAUGCUGAUGUAUUGUAUUAUGUUGUAUUGCAUUAGCACUGUAUUAUAACAAUGCUGUACAAUGUUUGGUGCUACACUGUACUUUAUUAAUUUUUUGAUUAAUUUAAAUUAUAUAUUAUAUUAUAUUAAUAUUUUAUAUUAUAUUCAUAUAUUUAAAUUGUAUUAAUAUUUAUAUUAUUAUUUAUAUUAUUAUUAAUUUUAAAUUAAUAUUAUUCAAAUUUAUUCAUAUUUAAAUAUUUAUUAUUAAUUAUAUUAAAUUAUAAAUUUACUAACAAAUUAUAAUGUAAAAAUAAAAAAUAUAAUAUAAUAUUAUUGAUUAAUAAAUUAUAAAUUUAUUAAUUUAUAUCAAUAAUUGUAACGUAAAAUAACAAAAUUAAAAUUAAUAUUACAUUAAAAAAAGGAAGAGGCAAGCUAAUGUGGCAGUUGCCGCAUUAGUUUGGGCCCAUUAAUGCAAUACUGCUGUAGCUUUUUAUAUGCCAAACAUGGGUCUGUAUAAAUUUAAUACAAUAAGGAGGUCUAAUACUUUAACAAACAUGCCCUAAAAGCAUUAAGCAUAAUAAUGAACACUCAACCAUGAAAUAAUAAACUAAAUAUAACACAGAUUUAUAUAAUUAAAUUUUCAUAAUUAGACUACAUUAUAUCCCUAAUAAAAUAUUUUGGAAGUUGCUCCGUUGAUUAACGCCCGUAUUGGCUCAGAUACCUCCAUGUCCAAAAACCUGUAACAUAAUUAAAAAGAUGAAAAAAAAAAGACUGAAACCUUAAUUGAAAAGUUCCUGUAGCAUAAUCAUGAAAUUUGGGCCUACGUUAAGAAUAUAUAUAUAAGGAUAAUUUAUGCAAUUUUGGGUGUUAGGAUGAUUAGUCUUAGGUUAGGGUUCAUCCUUCUGUAUUUAAGGUUAAAAUAGAAAUAAACCUGUGUAAAUAUUUAAAUUAGGGCUAUAAGACUUCCACAUGCAUCCUUCAGUGUCAUGGAUUUGAUUUUACUAUAGAAACAAGCGUCUUUAUCCAAAAUGCUUGGAGUUAAUUGAGAGAACUCACGGCCAAUAACUUGUCCCACGCUGAUCUUCGCUAGUGAUUUAACAAGUGACAAUGUUUCUUCAACAUUUGAACCAACAAAAUUAUUAAGUCAUGGAUGUCACUAGCAAUGGUUAAAACAUUAAAUAUUUCAGAGUUGUAACGUUUAAAUGGACUCUUUUAUUCAAUAUCUUAGAACUAAGUUUCCUUAUGAGAAGAUAAUAGUUUUGAAAGUAAUUUUACAUAUAAUUUUCCAUAUUUGAAUUAUUUUCUCGUUAGGGAUGAAUUUACCUGAUCACCAAGAAUCCCAAGCAAAGUUUCCCUCUUAUUUUCCAUCAAAUGAUAUGAAGUGCCAAAUUGAAAAGCAGCCCUUGCAACACAAGAAUUGUCACUUUGAAUCUCCGCUCCACAUUUGCAACAAUCUUCGGCCAACUUUCUCGAUACAAUAUUUGAAUACAAAAAUAUUAUACACAGAAACUAGUCAAGAAAAACAAAAUCAAAUAUUAUAAUGAAAGCAAGUGCAAACAAACAACCUAUCUCCAUUUGCUUCAAGCUUACUGCAACAAACCCUUCAACACCACGGACAAUAUUCCUCUGAAAAUGCUGUUCUACAUGGCAUAUAUUCCAAAUUAUUGUUCAGAUAAAACCAUAAAAACCAUCAUAAUUAUUCAACAUACAUUAAGCACUGUUUGGUAAAUACUUGUGACUCCAGUCUAGAAAAUAUAGUUGUUUGUACCAUAUUUGACAAAAUUAUUAUCUAAAAAUCAUAUUUAAUUAGCAAAAGCCACAAUAAAUCAAUACGAAAACAGAGAGGAUAGUACCUUAGCUGCCCCGGUGGAAUUGUACAGAUUUUGAAGUUGUUGGUGACACUCAAAGUUCAGCUUCAUCAACCGCAACAUUUUCAUUACCAAGACGCAGCAAAUGCUUCAAUACUGCCUGUACAAAUCAUAAAGAAAUAAUAAAAAAUAAAAUUGAGAAAUUUCACUAAUUAAACGUCUAAAUGGUUUUAAAAAAGAAAAGAAACGGACUUGCUGCUGCCUGGCGACUUGUUCGCGGACCUUGAUUGCCUGUUUCUUGAUAGCUUCCAUACUGUUUCUUUCAAAAAGCGACGACAGCUCAGCUCAGUUAAUUGAAAAAAGUGUGAUCUAGAAAAAUCAAAAGGGAUGAAUAAUUUUGGCAAAAGGCAAAGCCAAGUAAAGCCAGCUCUUUCCAGAAAACAAAAAAAUUAAAAAAAAAAAUUGUAAGUUUGAAAGGAGAAGAUGAUAGUGGAAGCGUGCAGUGUGGCUGCCAGCUAUUUGGAUUGUAUUGUCGGGUAAGGUAAUAGUAGAGAGAGAAUUUUUUAAGGAUCUAAAAUCGGGCACGUUGACUUUGUUGACCAAAUGGCACAGCCCAGAAAAUUUUUAAUACACUACAAGCAAGCUGUUUUAUUCCUCUCAUACUUUACGCUUGCAUCAGCUUAAAUCACUUCUUAAAUGCUUGCUUUAACCGAACCGCCUCGUACUAUUCUAUAUAUGUAACGGUUGCGCGGUUGUAGUUAACGGCUGAGGCUACGUGUUUGUUUGACGUGGUAGUUUUGUUACGACGUUACGAAUCUGUUGAACGUUCGGUGAUAGAGUAUUAUUUGUUAUUUUAAAGUGACAUAAAAUUAGUUACAAUACACCCGCUUGUUUUAUAAAAUAAAAAAUAAAUAAGUAAAUUGACUUAUAUUUUUAGUGGUUGAAUAUAUUUUGUGUUCUCUUGGGGCACUGUUGCAAUUGUUUCUUAAAUGUCAGUCACACCCACAUAUCAUUGACACAAGAAAUAGAAAUCUUAGAUCACUUGUUUAAUUAAAGAAUCACUCAUAAAAAAAUUUUGCCAUUUUGAUUUGAGGAUUCAUGUUUUGAACUACCAACUAAUGUUCAUCAAGGACAAAGUAUGGCUUGUAAGUAAAAAAAUUAUUUUUGGACAAAUUAUUUUUGUUGAUGGAAGAAUUUCUCAAGGGACUAUUUAAAUUAUUAAUAAAAAUGUCAGACACACCCACAUAUCAUCCCACAUAUCAUUGACACAAUUGAUUUUGAGAAUUCAUGUUUUGAACUACCACCUAAUGUUCAUCAAGAACAAAGUACGGCUUGCGAGUAGAAAAUUUUCUGAUUUUGGCCUAGAACAAAAAGAAAUUAAAUUGAAGGAGAAUCUACUACUUUCUCAUUAAGAAUGGCAUACGGGGCAUACGGGGCAUACCAUGGCACCAUACAACACCAGGAGUCUCCGUUCUCUGCUUUUUCAAACUCUGAAGGGGGCAAUAUUGUAAAAGUCAAACCAAGCUUUUGACAAAGAAAAGCUUUAUGAUAAAAGCUUGACAAAAUUGACCAAAACGUGUUAAAAUUUGGCACCAAACUUGGAAAUUUCAACAAACAUAUAGCUGGCAUGCAAGCUUUCUAUAGCUGGCAUGCAAGCUAGCACAAAUGGGCAAAUUGCCGUGUUGAAUUUUGGCCAUUCUUUAGGCUAUAAAUAGAGAAGUGAUGAGAGCUUGAAUUGCAUCCCGAAAACUUAAGAGCAUCCCAUUUAUUUAAGAGCUUAAGAGGAAUUGCAAGUGAAGCAAUUCUAGAGUUAUGAAAGUGUGAGCAAUUGGAGAGUGUGUGUGAGAGUGCUUUGGGUGUAUUUGGGUUUUGGGAAGUGAGGUUUUCAUUACUCAAAUAUUGUACUCCAAUAAUUGUUAGUAAUACAAUUAUUUUUCUCUUGCUCUCGUGGACGUAGGCAUAAUUGCCGAACCACGUAAUUAUUGUGUCCUUUAUUUUUCUGUGAUUAUUUGGUGCGCUUGAUUCCGCAUUCCGCGCACAAUAAGCGGUAUCAGAGCCGACGGUUCGUAUUUGGGGGGAUACGUACUGUUCACGUAUAUGAUACUAUUCACGUAUACGACACUAUUCCUAUAUACGGUACUGUUCACGAAUAUGGUAGAGACGGCCAUUUGUACUUGGGAGACAGUCUAUUGUAAGUAGUGUGUAUUUUUGCAUGUCUAGGAAAGUUCUGUGAACAAGGCGAUAAGAGUCUAAGGAUUCUGGUUUUUAAUUGGGACCGAGUUCCCGUCCAGUCUCCUGGGAACUUUCCCGGUGCAUUUAUUCACGCGAAAUUAACAUCAUAGAGAAUGUUUUUCAAGUGGAAUAGUUCGUUGAGAAAAUGGUAGAAUGUGAAACUUCCAGAAUUGGGGAGAGAUCUACCGAGACUAUUUCAAGAGAUACUUCAGGUGGGAAGCGAGAUUUGUCAAAUCGCUAUUCAACACCUGUUAUAGGAGACCAAAAGAUCGAUGUUGAAAAGUUUGAUGGGAAAAUCAACUUCGGCAUGUGGAGGCGCGAAGUUAUGGAUGCCCUUAUUCAAAUCGAUCUCGAUGUUAUUCUGAAAAAUAAAAAACACUUGUAUGAUGAAGAAAUUUGGGAUCGUAUGAACGAGAAAGCUUGUGGUCAGAUCAGAUCUUGUUUGACCAAGGAGGUGAAAUACUUGGUGAAAGAUGAGGAGUGUACGAUGACUUUGUGGCGUACAUUGGAGGAGAAGUACUUGCUGAAAAAUCCUGAAAAUCGUCUUCAUGCAAUUAGGGGUGGGCAAAAUAUCCGAUCCGACCCGACCCGAUCCGAUCCGAUCCAAAAAAUAUCGGGUUCGAAUCGGAUCAGAUUGUUGAUAUAACCCGAUCGGAUCAUGAUCGGAUCGAAUGAAACCCAAUCCGAUCCGAAAAACCGAUCGGGUUGCCAAAGAAAAAAAAAGAAAUUAAAGGUAAAAAAAGGAAACCUAAACCCAAAGACUAAAGAGCACAUGCACGUGAAGAACAUUCAACACUCUUUAAUAGCUAAAAGACAAAAUCACAUUUUAGCCAAGCUAAUAACAUUCUUCAGUUGCAUCAAAACGGAAAAAAAAAAGAAAAAAAACAGAGAAGACUCUUCCUCCCUUCCUCAACUUCUCAAUCUCAUCUCAAGAACACUCUUCACAAUUUCAUGCACACAACCACGCACACAUAUCGGAAAAGCAAAGGGCAGCCAGAUCGAUUUUUCCCGCAGUCACCGCUGACGCUAACUGCUCCGCGAGGACCGCAAAUGGAUCUGCUGCUACCGGAUUUGUUGCUACCAGAUCUGUUGCUACCGGAUCUGUUUCUACCGGAUCUGCUGCUACCGGAUCUGCUGCUCCACGCCGCCAUUCCUCCACCAUCACCUGAUCUGAUCCAAGAUCCAUUCAACCCGGUAAUUGCAAGGCUGCAACCCGAGUUUCCUUUUCCUCUUUUGAAGCUCUGUUGGUAUAAUAGUACUAUACCAGAUUGUUCGCCAUUUAGCAGUAAUAUAUCAUAUAUUAUUAUAUUACAUGUGAAAUUGUUAAUUUGUAAUUAUGUAUUGUUAAAUGUUAAUAAAAAAAUAAGAAAAUUGUAAAUCUGAACCCGAUCCGAACCGAAUUUAACCCUAUUUAUUGACCUGAUCCGAUCCAAUCCGAAUAUAUAUCGGAUCAGAUCGGAUCGGGUUAUAAGUUCGGGUUGUGUUCGGAUGAAUUUGUGUUCAACCCGAUCAAUCCGAAAUCCGAUCGGGUUGAUCCGAAUCCGACCCGAACCCGUAUUUGCCCACCCCUACAUGCAAUGAGCCAAGUAUAUGGCUUUCGAAUGAAGCCUGAGGUGUCAAUGCACGAUCAUGUCUCAAGAUUUGAAAAGUUACUUGUUGAUUUGAAGAAUCUUGAUGAAGAUAUUAAGGAUGAAGUCAAGGCUAUGAUUCUGUUACACUCACUACCAGAGGAAUAUAGUCAUUUUGUGACUACCUUGAUAUAUGGGAAGAGUGUGAUCGUCUUCAAAGAUGUUUGCACAGCAUUGACUAACUUGGAGAUUCGAAAUAAUGAUAAAAAUUCUGAACGAGCAUCGUCUGAAGCUUUGGUGAGCAGAGAUUGGGCGAUGGAGAAAAAGAAAAAGCGUGGUGGAAAGAAUUCUCGAUAAGCGUGGUGGAAAGAAUUCUCGAUCCAAAUCGAGAAGCAGAAAUAUAGCUCGAGACGACUGUGCCUUUUGUCAUGAAAAGGGUCAUUGGAGGAAAGAUUGUCCAAAGGCUCAAAAGAGAUAUGGGAAUAAACCAGCAGCAGCAAACAUGGCACAGAAAGAUGAGGACUCUGAUUAUUCACUAAGUAUUACUCCUGCAGCAUACAUGGCUAGUUCGAGCGAGUGGAUACUUGAUACUGGAGCAACAUACCAUUUGUGUCCUAUUAAGGAAUGGUUUACGGAUUUUCGUAAUCUGGAAUCCGGUGCAGUUGUGAUGGGGAAUGAUCAACCUUGUCGCACAAUGGGGAUAGGAACAAUUCGACUCAAAAUAUUUGAUGGAAUGAUCAGAGAACUCAAAGAGGUUAGAUUUAUUCCAACUUUAAAGAACAAUCUAAUUUAUAUGGGUGCUUUGGAAGCUAAAGGCUACAAGGUUACCAUUGAAGAUGGAACAAUGAAGUUUACACAUGGGGCUAUGGUGAUUAUGCAAGGGGUUCGACGUCACAAUUUGUACUAUUUGAAAGGAGGUACAACUGAUGAAGCAAAUGUUGUUGAGGUGCACAGUGACACCACCAAGCUAUGGCAUGUACGACUGGGACAUGCUGGAGAGAAGUCUUUGCAAACUCUGAUGAGGCACGGACUCUUAAAAGGUACUAAAACCUAUAAAUUAAAUUUUUGUGAGCAUUGUGUAGUAGGUAAGAAAACAAGGGUCAAGUUUGGUACGGCUAAUCACGAUACUCGUAAGAUCCUUGAAUAUAUUCACAGUGAUGUAUGGGGACCAACCAAGACUGCAUCAAUUGGUGGAAGCCAUUAUUUUGUUACAUUUGUUGAUGAUUUCUCUAGACAUAUGUGGGUGUACACUAUGCGAGCUAAGGAUGAGGUUCUAGAGAUUUUCGUGAAAUGGAAGAAAUUGGUGGAGACUCAAACUGGCAGAAGAUCAAAGUAUUACGAUAUGAUAAUGGUGGUGAAUAUACUUCUGAUCCAUUUUUGCAAGUAUGCUAGAACGAGGGUAUUAAAAGACAUUUCACGGUGAGACAUACUCCGCAACAGAACGGUGUGGCUGAGCGUAUGAAUCGUACUUUGCUAGAGAAAGUACGGUGUAUAUUAUCUCAUGCUGGUUUAGAUAAAACGUUUUGGGCUGAAGCCGUGAGCUACGCAAGUCACUUGAUAAACCGGUUGCCUUCUACUACAAUUGGAUGUAAAACUCCUAUGGAAAUGUGGUCUGGAAAGCAUGCACAAGACUAUGAUUCCCUUCGUAUAUUCGGGUGUCCAGCUUAUUAUCAUGUCAAAGAUGGUAAAUUGGAUCCUCGUGCUAGAAAAUCUAUCUUUGUGGGAUUCAAAGGUGGAGUAAAAGGCUUCAAGCUUUGGGAUCUCGAAGAUAAAAAGUUUGUGUGUAGCAGAGAUGUCACGUUUGAUGAAGCUUCAAUAAUGAAAGUUUCAAGUUCUCAGCAGGUGGAGAACAAGACCACAGAGGUAUUGCAACGGGUGGAGUUUGAUGCAACUCCAUAUGUACCAGUUAGUUCUACAUCAGAGAAUGAUUCAACUAUGGAGGUGACACCUAGGGUUGAAGAAGAUGUUGUUUUUUCUGAUGUCCCACAAAAUGCAGAAACAAUUGAAGAUGUAGAUAAUGAUGAUUUCAUUGCAACAAGGAGGCCAAGAAGAGAGAUAAAGAAACCCGGAUGGCUUACUAAAGACAUGGUGGUAGCAUAUGCACUUCCAGUUAUUGAUGAUGACAUCUCCAACACUUUCAGUGAAGCAUUACGCAGCAGUGAAAGUGAUCAAUGGAAGUUAGCCAUGGAGGAAGAGAUGAAAUCUCUCCAUCAAAACCAGACUUGGGAACUUGUAAAGUUACCAAAGGGGAAAAAGGCUAUUGGCAAUAAAUGGGUCUACACCAAGAAGCAAGGAUCUCCGAAUCAAUCAACUCCUCGAUAUAAGGCAAUGCUCGUUGCAAAAGGUUUUGCUCAGAAGGAAGGUAUUGACUACAAUGAAGUUUUAUCUCCAGUUGUAAAACAUACUUCCAUUCGUAUCCUACUUGCCUUAGUUGCAGAAUAUGAGUUAGCGUUGGCUCAAUUGGAUGUUAAGACGACGUUCUUACAUGGAGAUUUGGAGGAGGAAAUCUAUAUGAUUCAGCCUUGUGGUUUCAAAGUUGCUGGAAAGGAGAAUCAUGUGUGUAGAUUGAUUAAAUCUUUGUAUGGACUGAAGCAAUCGCCAAUGCAGUGGUACAAAAGAUUUGAUCAAUUUAUACAAGGGCAGAAAUUCACUAGAAGUGAACACGAUCAUUGUGUUUACUUUAGAAGACUACUAAAUGGAGCUUUCAUCUAUUUGUUACUCUAUGUCGACGAUAUACUUAUAGCUUCGAAGAAUAAAGAUGAGAUCGAGAGACUGAAGAAUCAGCUGGCUUCUGAGUUUGAGAUGAAAGACUUGGGUGAUGCACAGAGAAUACUUGGAAUAGAGAUUUGUAGAGACAAGAAGAAUGUGAGCGUAUAGUUGACUCAAAAGUCUUAUUUGAAGAAAGUGCUAGAAAAAUUCGGUACGGAUGACAAAACUAAACUGGUAUGUACACCUCUAGCUCCUCAUUUCAAAUUAAGCUCUUCUUCAUGUCCUACAUCUCAAGAAGAACGUGAUUAUAUGGCUCGUGUUCCAUAUGCUAGUGUUGUGGGUAGUCUUAUGUAUGUUAUGGUAUGCACAAGGCCCGAUAUAUCUCAAGCAGUGAGCAUGGUUAGUAGAUACAUGCACAAUCCGGGUAAAAAUCAUUGGCUUGCGGUGAAGUGGAUUCUCCGAUAUCUGUAUGGGACAGUUGAUGUUGGGUUAUUAUUUAAGAAGGAUUGUGGUCAACAAUGUGUUGGAUAUUGUGAUUCUGAUUUCGCCGGAGACCUAGAUAAGCGAAGAUCAACAACGGGCUACGUAUUCACAUUGGGUGGAGGUCCGGUUAGCUGGAGGUCGAUUCUACAAUCGACAAUUGCUCUGUCCACUACAGAAGCAGAGUACAUGGCAGCAACUGAAGCUGUAAAGGAAGCUAUCUGGUUGAAAGGCUUGUUAGGUGAUUUGGGAGUAAUCCAAGAGAACAUUGCGGUCUUUUAUGAUAACCAAAGUGUGAUAUUCCUCGCGAAGAAUCAAACAUAUCACUCUCGGACGAAGCACAUAGAUGUGAAAUAUCAUUAUGUGAGGGAGAUUAGCGAGGGUGGUGAUGUGUUGUUGAAAAAGAUCAAUACCAAGGAUAACCCAUCAGAAAUGUUGACAAAUGUGAUUUCUGGAGUUAAGUUUCAACAUUGCUUGAAACUAAUUCAAAUUCUUCGAAUGCAUUAAGUUUGGGAAAUUUUGAACUACGGUUGGCUUGAUCCCAAAUUUGUGGGUACGUAGGCAGUCACAGAGAUGCAGUCACUUUUGGGACGAUGGAUCGUUAGUAGUCGGCUCAGAUUUGGACAAAUUUUCGCCGAGGUGGAGAUUUGAGAUUUGUAAAAGUCAAACCAAGCUUUUGACAAAGAAAAGCUUUAUGAUAAAAGCUUGACAAAAUUGGCCAAAACGUGUUGAAAUUUGGCACCAAAACUUGGAAAUUUCAACAAACAUAUAGCUGGCAUGCAAGCUUUCUAUAGCUGGCAUGCAAGCUAGCACAAAUGGGCAAAUUGUCGUGUUGAAUUUUGGCCAUUCUUUAGGCUAUAAAUAGAGAAGUGAUGAGAGCUUGAAUUGCAUUCCGAAAACUUGAGAGCAUCCCAUUUAUUUGAGAGCUUAAGAGGAAUUGCAAGUGAAGCAAUUCUAGAGUUCUGAAAGUGUGAGCAAUUGGAGAGUGUGUGUGAGAGUGCUUUGGGUGUAUUUGAGUUUUGGGAAGUGAGGUUUUCAUUACUCAAAUAUUGUACUCCAAUAAUUGUUAAUAAUACAAUUAUUUUUCUCUUGCUCCCGUGGACGUAGGCAUAAUUGCCGAACCACGUAAUUCUUGUGUCUUUUAUUUUUCUGUGAUUAUUUGGUGCGCUUGAUUCCGCAUUCCGCGCACAACAAAUAUUCCCUAAUUUCCCCUUGAAAAGUAUUUCUCCAUCUCUUUUUCGAAAUUUCACAAUAAACCGGCACAUUGUAAAAGUUAUGUUCUAACCUUAUGAUAAAUGCUCUAGACUUCAAAUGGAUUUUAUAUAUGAGAGUUUGUUGCAGCAGAUAUAUUGACUUAUCAAAUAUGAAUCAUUGUCUCGAUGAACUAUCUUUAGAUAAAAGAAUAUUAGAACCACUGUAGAAUAUCUUUACCCUGCUGGUUCUAACAAAAAUCUGCAUGUGGCAGCAAUUACUAGAUCUACAAUUUCCCAAAUAAUAUUUUGUGUUUCUUAAAAAAUUUGAAAUACAUAGUUGCACACCGUGAGACAGUGCUACAAUCUACUGAGAUCUAAAUUAUAUGAGACCUUAAGCUACUAAUGUUUGCAUAUUUCUACACGUCAAAUUAACAUUACCAUCUAUAAUCCAAAACGACAGAUGAUAAACGGCUUUUGGCCACUUAUUACUAGCAUCCACAAAUAAUUAUUUUGCAGCAAUCAGCUUAUUUUAUAGAAAUUGAUUUAGUCAGCAACAAACACUAUAAUUCUUGAAAUUAAUUUUUGUUCUUUGUAAUUUUCUAUGGUUUUUCAUAAAUCAAUUAAUCUGCAGUGCCAAGAUGAGGUUUAGCUUUUCAAACUAAAUAAUCAAGCAAGCAAAAAUACAAAUUCAGAGAUUAGGGAGUGAACUAGCUAGGUGGUUUAGAACUGGGCUGGCUAGCUCACUAUAUUCCAAUUUGUACAGUGAAUUCAUUGAAUCAUGAGAAAACAAUGUGGUCAUAGCUCAAUAUGAGAUGAUUUCGGAAGGGCAUACUGUUUCCAAGUUAAGUUGAUCCAUUAAGAGAUGGAGUGGUAGGGGUGUCAAAAAAGCCCGCUCGGACCGGACCCGCCAAUCCGGUCCGGGCAAAACCCGAACCGCAUGCACAUAAAAACCGGACCCGGGUUUGAAAUUCUCAAACCCGGACAUUUCCGAGCCCGGGUCCGGGUUCAACACAAAAAAUCCGGAACCCGGACCGGACCCGGUUUUUUAAUAAAUUUUAAAAAAAAUAAAUAUAUUAUAUAUAAAUAUAUAAUUAUGAAUUUAUGAUAUGUUGGAUGUUAUUUAAAUUUAUUGUGUGAUUAUUGUGUUGUUGAAUUUAAUUUAUUUAUUUUAUAUAUAGAUUGAAUGAGUUUAAGUUAGAAAUUGGAUGAAUUUAGGUAUUAGAAAGUAGAUUGAAAUAAUUUUUAUUUAUCAUUUGUGAAAAAUUUGCAUUGUUAGUGUGUUAUAUAUUUGUAUUUGACUAUUUUCUUUUUUAAAGUUUGAGAUUGAAUGAGUUUAUUUGAUUAUUUUCUUUUUUAAAAUUUGUAUUGUUAGAGAAAUGAAAGAAAAAAUUGAAGAAAAAAAAUUGAAGUUAUCACAUGCGGGUUUAAAAAAUCCGGAUCAAAACCCGGACCCGGAAGGUGCCGGGCUCAAGCCCGGACCGCACCCGGAAAAACCGGAUUUUAACCCGGAUCCGGUCUUGCAUUUCUCUCAUCCGGUCCAGUCCCAGGCAACACCAAAACCUAUGGAGUGGAUUGUGUGGAAAGUCUAAAUAACAAAUCCUUGUUCUUGAGUUUUACGACGUCGUUACUCCUUCAAGCGGCAGAUUAUGCAAGUGAGUUAAAAAACACAAUGCAUCAAUCACGGGGAUGCUACAUCAAAAAGACGGGAUCAUAGUGUCUAUGCAUUGAACAGUUACAGUUGCUGCUACAUCAAAAACACAAUGCAUCAAGAACACUUUCGCUCUGUCUAUAUCCUUAUUGACCCCAAAAAGGAUUAAUAAUUGAAGACGACUAUACAGAGUUAAUCUCACACUUUCGUUCUCUCAAUUUCUUUCAGAUGUCCCUCUGAAAAUAGCUGCCAAAACAGUUGGUAAGCUUUUAUACUCUGUUUUCUGGAAACAGAGUCCUAACUAACUGAACUGACGGUGCAGAGUAUGUCAACAUGCAUAAUUAAUCGUUUUAACAGUAUUUUUGAGUUGUCUUCGCAGUGAUCAUCAACAAACUCAUCACAAGAUUUUUGGAGCACCCUAGGACUAUCACUAGAUUCUAAAAUGACUAGUUCACUAUUCUUUUACAGUCCUUUCACCAGUAAAAUUAUUCGACUUCUGGAACUGGGAAUGAAGUGCAAUGAUGGAGCAACAUUUACAAUGUCUCUGGUUUCUCCUGACUCUCAGAUUUUUGUAGUGAGAACAUAUAACAAAAAAAGGCCUCCAUCAACAUAUGUAGACUCCGGGAUAUGGAUUGGAUCGAGUUUUUGUUUGAUAUUGAAGAACCUCUUUACUAUCGCGAUUUAGAAUAUGUGCAAGGAGUUGUCUACCGUUUUUUGCCUUAUGCUAUGAUCGGUGCUUUUGACGUUGCCCUGAAACGGUGGAAAAUACUUCGAUAUCCUCCGUUUGAUGAUGCAAAGAACUGGUUAAUGUACGAUUACCUAAUUGACUCUGGAUCAAGUAACAACAACAAUUUAUUAAUAGUAAUAGCAUAAACUAAGAAGAUUUUGGAGAGGGAGAUGUAUGCGUAUACUGUUUACAGGUUUGAUCCAUUGGGGAUGAAGUGGUCUCAAGUUGAAAGUGAUUUAUUAAAUAACAAGUCAUUGCUCUUGGGUUAUACCUCAUUAUGUCUUCAAGUGGAAGAUAAGAUUAUGCAAGAUGAAGAUCGAGUUUUAGUUUGAUAUUGAAGAAUUUGAACAGAGAGCCCAUAGAAAGUACCUAAAUAAGCAUAUUCUUGAGGUAAAAUAUGGAGGAGGAGUUGUUUACUGUGUGCUGCGUAGUUAUGCUAUGAUCGGUGCUUUCGGCAUUGCGCAAACAGUGGAAAAUACUUCAUUUCCUCGACAUGAUAAUGAAAAGAAAUUGGUUGCCGAUUACCUAAUUGACUCAGGUGGCAACAAUCUAUUAAUAGCACAAUUUGAUGUGAUGCCAGUUAGGUAUAUGAUUUAGAGGUUUGAUUCAUCAGUGAUGAAGUGGACUGAAUUAAAAGUUUAAAUAAUAAGUAGUUGUUAUUGGGCAUAUCCUCAUUACUAUUUUAAGUGAUCAAAGAUGAAGAUGAAAAUUGUGCAAGUGAGUUCAAGAAUACCACACAUCAUUACUUCGGAUACUUCUUCAAACCUGGAUGGGGUUAUAAUUUACUCCCACGAAUUUCAACCCAAUUUUAUGAUUGGAGUGUCUCACCAUGACUCAGAAAAAAUUCUGAUUCAACCUCCUCCACCAAUGGAUUUUGAUAAAGUUACUUUGUGAUCAAGCAUAAAUUCACAGUUUGAUUUUGUUGCUACCACAUUUUUUUUAAAAUGUGGCCACGUGAGGAGAGCGGACCAGAGUGUCACUUCCUCAACAAGCACUUUAAAGAUGGACUUUAGAAGAAGAUAUAACUGCAAUUGUUUUCGUGUGUGUGUGUAUACAAAACUACAGAACAUUCAGUUCAUAAAAGAAAUUUUUGCUAACCAUGAUAUGUGGUAGUGUUUUUUAGGCAAUGUAGAAACAGAGUUGUUCAACUUACAACAGAUAUUCUCCUCAAGUUCGACUUAAUUAAUCUUACGAUGACACAUAUAACUUGCUUCAAAAUUAGAAAUUAUAAAUUGCCGAUUUACAAUGCAUAUAACUUGGAAGAAUUGGUGUUAAAAGAACAACUACACGCAUAACUUGGAGAGCAAUUGCGACAGUAGCAAAGGAUAUAUUAACUAAACUGGCCAUUGAGCAAUUAAGAGGAGCCAUCAAACAUCUUACUAGUUCUGGCAGCAGUUUAUUAACUAAAAUAGCAAUAUGAUGUGAGAAAAAGGAACAUACGUAGACAUACUUGGCAACAGUUCAUGAGAAGUAGCAUCGCAUUAAGGUAAUGACUUUACUGCCGUUAUCGUGCAAGGUAAUACUUCAUUUCUCCCUUUCUUUUUUUCACUUUAACAAAGUUGAAGUCAGUGAAAUUAUGACUCGACAUAAAAAAAAAGUCAGUGAAAGGCCAAUACCCUACUACAACAACAGGUACAAAUUAAAAGCUUCAUUCUAGAAAAGAUGACGCAUUAUUCUUUAUCCCUAAGGCUUAAGCCCACCACAGUGGAAUUUCAUAUUAAUUUCCGAAUGACUCGAGCAAUUCUUGAUUCAAACUCGUCCACCAAGCUGGGAUUUCGAUUGAGUGAGUUACCUUCUGCUCAAGCAACUUAAAGUCGUCGUUUGAUUUUGCUGCCACCCCAUUUUUUAAAAUUAAUUUCAAUUCCACCUCAAGGAAUUCUUAUCACUGAACAGUUGAAGUUAAUUUACUUUGAACUUUUGAAAAUUAUAUUUUUGAUGUUUUGCACUUUAUGGUUACUUAAAAUAAAAUUUGACGGUGUUUCUAUGAUUAAUUAUUUGUGAUAGUCUGUACUUAGCAAGAGUUCACGAGAAGUUUGUCUAAAUGCUCUUCACUAGAAGGACUAUAUCUUAUUAAUAAAAAUCUCUUGGGGAAGAUUCCACGCUGGUUGGAUAAUCUCUCAAUGUUAAAGCAUAUUAUAUUGUCCAAGACCUAUCUUGAAGGUCAACCUAUUCCAUUGGAGUUUUGUCAUCUUUAUUCUCUUCAAAUUUUGGACAUUUGAAAAAACAAUAUAUUUGGAAAUUUACUAUUUUUUUUCCACUCUCUCCCUAAUUAACAAGUUCACUUGUCGAAUAAUAUGUUACAUAGGCAUCUAAAAUGAAAGUACAUUUUCUAAAUGCUCUUCCUUAGUGACAUUAGAUCUUAGAUAUAACUGUUGUUGAUGCUGAAAUCUGCUCGCCUUUUACCCGACCAGAUCUUUUCACCAACGUUUAUGUGGUCAAUCGAGAAAAUGUCGCCUUCUUUCUGUUUCAACGAUUGCUUGAGUCCCUGGGACUAGAACCACCCUUUUUCUUCUUUCUGAUGCCUAUGUUCACAAAAACAGAUCAGAGACGCCGAUGGUUUUACCGACGUAAACCCUCCGAUGCUUAAGUUAGCACGAGAUGUUUACGGGAAAACUAUGUAAUUUAGAUUGUGUGAUUUCUUAAAAUACUCUCACAAAUUUGUAUGGAAUGUAAUCUGGUUUCAAUUUGGCAGAGUUUUCCCUUUGCUCUCAAUUUUUUCUGUCUCCUUUUUCAUCGGUUUCCUGGCUUCUUAUAGCCGUUGUCCCACGUUUCUGCGUACUCUUCAUGCCCCCCUUUUUCGAGUGAUGGCAGACCCUCAUGGGUCUCCAACCACUGGAUUGUGGGUAAACGUGGAAUGCCAUGUCUCUCCCAACAGUUCGGGAUAUAGUGAAACUGUCGCAAUUUCGUGAGAUCGUGUGCCCUUUCUUUGGGUGAUGGGUAUCUGGUCGGUAUAUGUCUCUGGUUGGUGCUCGUCUCUAGUUGGCACAUGUUUGUAUAAGAUGUUUUAUCAGGACUCUUCUUGUGCCAUUCAGUUGAGGAGAUUCGCCUCGGGGUGGGAGAUGAGGGCAUGGCCGAGCUGGUACUUUUUAUUACUUAACAACUGCUUGAAUGACAGCAUUUUGAGAUUUGGUUGUUAACUUUCUCAAUUAAGAAACCUUAUCUUGACUCCCAAUAAUCUUGAAGGUGAAAUGCAAUUUCAGUUGUGCUAAUUGUACCAAUUGCGAUUAAUAGAUCCUUCAAAUAACAAAUUUUAGAUAACGUUGCACUUCAUGAUAGAAUGUAAGAUAAAACUUGUUUUUUUUUUUCUUUUUUAUAGUAUUGACAUUUGAACGCUAUCAAAAUAGAAUGUAAGAUAUUGUUCAUACUACAAUAUUAUUGUAGCAAAACUAGCUGAUAGCAGUAUUCAUACUACAGUGCUAUUGUUUCUAUCAUAGUAAUAUUUUGUUGGUGGCUAAAUAUUAUUUUUUUUAUUAAAUAAAAAAGUGGGUAAUACUCAAAUUAAUUUUUAAUUUCCAAUCUCUCUCGAGUUCUCAAUUCAAGUAGCCAAUCAAAUAAAAAUAUUUAAAAUUAAUUAGAUCAUCCAUGGGCCUUUUUUUUUUUUUUUUUUUCAAAGGAGAUGGAUUCUUAAAACUACAGGUAAUGAAAUUAACUAACAAAAACAGGUUUAAAUGUCCAUUUUAAAUUUUUUUAAUAAUUUUUUGUUUACUAUUUUACCAGCUAUAUAAAGAGUGCCACGCCAAUACAUCAAUUGAUUUAGAAAUUACAUUUGGGGUUUUUUUAAUCAUAUAAAGGUGAUUAAAUAAUUUUGUAAAAUUCAUUUGGCUUGCACUUGGUCGCCUCUGUUCUCUGAAUGGUCAUGACGUUAUCAUCAUCUUCUUCUUCACUUGUACUAACAUUAAAUUCUUCUUGUUCACUUGUACUAACAUUUUAAUUUCCAAUCUUUCUCAGCUAUAUAAAGAGUACUCUUUCUCGGAUUCUAGGUAGUCCCACACAGCUCCAUCUCACUCCAAUUGUCACCCAACAAGACCAAUCGCUUAAUCAAGACACAGAACAAAAAGAGGAUGAGAAAUUGGAACAAGAACUUGAGAAUUGGAAAUCGAAAACGUACGCAUUGACCGUGCCUUUGAGAGUCGUUUCUCUUCAGAAUUCAAUACCUUAAUCUUGGGUUAAGGAUUUUAUGCGAAGUCAAGGAAAGAGAUUGAGUUCUCAGAUGAAUUUGUGUGCUAGCAUUGAUGGGAUCUUAACAAUUUAUCUGUGCCUUUUAACAAAGUUAAGGCUAAGUCAGCUCUUAUAUGGCUGCUGAUUUGGUUAGUGUUGGUGAUCCAUGGCUCAGUUUUGCGAUUAAAAAGAGAUUGAUUGAACCAAUAGUUGGAGCUGAAGAUCAAGAUUGGUUCAAAUGCUUAAGUCACAAAUGGAAGGUAACAUCUUUAUCAUUGUCCCGAUAUUUUUUAUUGUCUUACAUUGAAGUUUGGUAAUGGAAUUUGUUCUCUAUUUAUUUCCCUUUGUAGUCAUUUUAUUUAUUUUUUUGUUUGCAUUUAUUUGCACUUACGAAGUCUCAGGUAUAUCUACGCAGGAAUGAUGCAGGAGAAAUUGAUCCUCUAGGUAAAAUAUGCGCGGCACCAUAUCAGUGGGGCACAGCGGUGAUAGCUUACAAGGAAAGUAAAUUUCGAAAGCUUAAUUUGGCUCCGAUUGCGGUAAUAAUUGUCUUUAAACUCAUUUAGUUUUAUAUCAAACAAAACCAAGACUGCCUUUCUCUUCAAUAUUUUUUAUGAUAAUAUCUUUAGAAGCAUCUUAUUGAUGGGUAAUAAUGGUACCCCUUAAAGAGUUUAUAAACUCAAUGAUAUUAUCUUCUGCAAAUGGUUCAUUAAACUUUGUCGUUGUAGUCAAAUGUACACUCAGAGCAAUGAGAAGCUAUGCCACUGUAGCAUGUAGUGAUGGCACUUAAUAAGUGAGUUGCUAGGAUGUGAACUAGAAAAAUUAAAUAUUGUCUCCCUGGGUAUGCUAGCUCAUAAGUCAGGGUUAAUAUUAGAACUCAAGAUACUUUAACCAUGAGAAGCUAUUGACUGCCAAUUAAAAUAUCCUUUAAAAUGUCUAGGAAGUUAUGAAGGUGGAAGUAUCUUCCGAUUUCUAAGGCCACAUGGUAGAUAUCAUCCAGGAUCCUAGUACAGUGCAGUUAUCCUCCUGCUAGAUGCAAUUAAUAAAUUUGGUCAAUGCCACUGAAACAUGCUAACUGACGUCACAAUGCGACAUGAGCACUUCAAAAUGGGACAGACGGUCGGUAGCACUAAAUUUUUCUUGCCUAAGAUUGAGCAAUUGGUCUAACUACUAACCCCUUUUGUAGGUUGAUCAUUAUUUUUUCAAUUGUUUUCAGUCUGACCCAAAAUGUUACAGAAUCUUGAUCUGAAUAUUGUCACUGAACACUGUCAAUGUCGUUUAGCGUAGCCAACUAACUUGAGUUUGGUAAAACAAACACACAGUGUGUCUCAUGUCUCACAAUUCAAAUUAUCAUUUGUAAUGAUGGAGAAUUUUUCCAAUGUAUGAAGUAUGCUUUGAUACGUGGGUUACCUUGGAGAAGGUAUCUCAAAAUAAAGAAUAUGGGGAGAAAACAGUUCAGUAGUUUAUUAUUCUGUAGUCAAGUUUUGUCUCAAAAAUGGUCCAAAUUUAAAUGAAUAAGGACAGGGGAUCUUCAUUCUUUUUUCCCUUUUUUAUACCGAGAUAUCUCUCAACCUUUACAUAAUCCCCACUGGAUAUCUGCUUCUAAUAAUUAAAAUAAAAAUUUCACCCACACAAAUAAUGUAAUACCCCACACCCGAUUAUUUUUUUACUCUCCACCUAUAUAAAUUGAGCGCGAUUAAAAGUUCGAGUAGUCGGAUGUAUUUUCAUCACGGGACCGGUAUAAGUUUAAUUUGUAUCAAGUUUAAGUGGAAAAAAAAAGAGAAAGAAAAAGAAAUCGGGUUUUAUAUAUGGAAAUGGGGGAAACUGUUUUUGAUUUACAAAGAAAGAGGGAGAAGGCACGAGAGAGAGAGAGAGAGAGAGAGAGUGUUUGACCCGGUUUGACCCGCAACCCGACCCGGAACCCGCGACCGUGACCCGGAAUUUUCUCUCGAUUCCGGCCACCUCACCGGCCGUGCUUGGUACCGAUUUGAAGCUUGGAAGCCGCCCGACCUAUCCCCGCUGUCCUCGUUGCCGGAAACUGACCAGAACGCCGGCGAUUUGAGCUCGAAAACUCGCGGCCAAGGCUCGUUUUUGCCGCCGUCGAUUUCGCCGGAUUUUGGGCACACUUCCAGCUGGGUUCUACUCCUCACGUCACCAGCAUCAUUUUCCGACCAACCUCGUCACCUGAAACGGCCGGAUUGCCGGCGAUCAACCACUUGGGAAGCUCGUGGUUUUUGGAAGCUCGAUUUGCCGCCGCUGCCGCGCGUGGAAGGUCACCACCGCCACCAUUGGACUCAGCAUGGCUUGAACUUUCAGUUCUGAGCUUCUCGUCGCCGUCGGAUGAAUUCCGGUGACCGUUGACCGGCAAGGGUAUUUUGGUAAUUUCACAGUCUAAGGGCAAUUUUGUAAUUUCAGAUUUUGUGGGUAUUUUAGUAAUGGCUGUAAUUGAGGAUAAAGUUGGUAAUUUAUGAUUUUGAGGUUAAUUUGGUAAUUUUGAUAUGAGGGUAUUUUGGUAAUAUUGAAUUCAAGGGUAAUUCGGUAAAUUCAUAAAACUUGAGGGUGAAUCUGUAAUUUGUGGAAUCAUGGGAUAAAUUGGUAAUUUUAAGUUAGGGCAGUGUGGUAAUUUGAGAUUACGAGGGUAAUUCGGUAAUUUAAGACGUUAAGGACAUUUCGGUAAUUUUAUGCCCCAAGGGUAAUUUCGUACUUUCGGACAAUGUGAUUAAUUUAUGUAAUCUGAAUUGAGGACAAUAUGGUAAUUGACGAAUAUGAGGAUAAUUUGGUAAAAUAAUGAAGUUUGAGGAUAAGUUGGUAAAAUAUUGAUGUUGGGGGUAUUUUGAUAAUUUUGGCAUGUAGGGGUAUUUCGGUAAUUUUGUGCAUGCGGGAAUAGUUUAUUGUUGAUAAAUAUUCGUUUCGAGAUUUAUUAUAUAAAAUUGGUUGUAUUUCAAGUUUACGGAGAAUGUUUAUGUCGUUUCCCUGAUUAGGAGGAUCUGCGAACGAGAAUCAACCCGCGGACGUUGUUGAUACCGAGUCUAGACAUCAUCACUGUGAGUGGAAUAUACAAAACCUAUUUUCAUAGUAUAUGCUGAUUUUAUGAUAAGUAUUUAAUGCUUCGAUUAAAUGAUUUUCCGGCAAAUUAAUUUUUAUCUAUGUGUCGGUCUUUAUUGUUAUUGAGAAUGAGUUUGAUUAAUGAUUUUAUUAGCGUUUUUGAGUAAAGGCAUGAUAUUAGAAUUGAGCAGAUUUUGAGAUAUGUUGAAUAGAAAGAAAAUGAGAUUUCAGAUGAGAUUCUAUGUUUAUGUAUAUGUUAUUUUUGAAAUCAUUAGACAGUACCCUUCCCUCCAGAUACAGAGAAACAGAUAAUAUGAGAUGAGAAAAGAGAUACAGAUAAGAUGAGAUAGAGGCCUUUGGGGCCCGUCAGGACACACAUAGAGGCUUUGGGCCGUGUGUUCGGGCGCUUUUGCCUUUUGGGGGCUUAUGCAUGCGCAGUACAGAUAUAUCAGAUAUGAGAUGAGAUCGUCCCCAUCUAUCCGUUGUAGCUCCGGGGCGUGACGUUACCCAGAUAGUACGUCAUUGCCCGUCCGUCGAGGUCCGGAUAUGAUCAGAUUAUCCCCUGGGUACUUGCUUGAUGAUAGUUUUCAGUAUUCAGUAUUUUAUAUGAUAAGUAUUAUGAUUCCAUUGAAUUUAUGCAGAUUUUAAUGUGAUAUAGUAUUUCAAUGAACUAAUUUGAACUUAAUAAGUUUAUGUAAGUUCUUAUGAUAUUUUGAUGAAAUUGUCUGAGCAAAUUGAUUUAUGAAAUUGAUUUGAGGAAGUGAUUUGAGAAAGUGAUUUGAGAAAGAUUAAAUGAUUUUAAAUAAAUUUAUUAAAUUGUCAGCAACUACUAUCCACUCACUGAGCUCACUGAGUUUUAUACUCACCCCUCUUUUAUUAUAUUUCCCCCCCCCACAGGAGAUUUACAGGUACAUCAGUCAACCUAGUAGCGAACGUUAGUGUGAUAUUGUGGCCACGUGAUGGUGCUAGGAGUCGUGAAUUUAAUUAUUAUUAUAUUUGGGAUUUUUGCGAGUUGUGUUUAUUUAUUAUUUUAUGUUAUUAAGGAUAAUCGAUGUAUUUUAAUAUUAGGAUGAUUUGGAUGAUGUUUGAUAUAUUGAUUUGAGAAGUUGGUUAUGGAGGAUGGUUGGAUAUUAAAUUAUUUUGGGAGUGUUGCUUUAUAAUUUGCAGGAUUGGAUAUGUUUUAUUUAUAAGGGAGAUUCUGCCGAAAUUUUUAUAGAAUAGUUUCGAUUUUACGAGUUUAGAUAGACUCGCCCUGGGGAGUUGCGGGGCGGGUCGUUUCAAAUAAAUACUGACCAAGCUCUAACAAUAAAAAGUAACAUCUUUAGUCAAGUGAUUUACAGUUCCUCAUCAUCUUAGUGAGACUAUCAGUAUGUUCCAAAAACAUUAUAAAACUGGUUUGUUCCUGUUUAUUGAUGUUUAAAUGAUGUUCAUUGUGACAUGUAGAAAUGAUGAGGCGAAGUUUAUUUGGCCAUCAAUUUGUAAGAUCUUGUUUGAAGUUGUUUUCUGAAAUGAACUGCCAAAUGGUAGUUUUUUUGGGCAUUUGAUGGCUCUUUUUUCCUCAUUUUAAACAUGUGCCUGCUUGGAACAAGAAGGAUUAGGCUGCAGAGUUGUUAUAUAUUUUGACAUGCUCUGGUCAUUGCACAAUUUGUUCACACUGGAAACUAGAAUGAGAAAUUUGUUGCAUUCUAUGCACAAUAACAUGAUUCAUGAAAAUGGAUUGUAGGACUGGAAAGAUCUGUGGCAGCCUGAGCUCGCAGGACGAAUUUCAAUGGUUAAUUCUCCCCAAGAGGUUAUUGGUUUAGUUUUGAAGUAUAUGGGAGCGUCAUACAACUUGAUUCGCAAGUUGCUGGUGGGAAGAUUGCUGUUCAGCAGAAUCUGGCAUUACUGGCAAACCAGGUACUCUCAAAGAAAUGAUAUCUGGUCAUUGCAUGUUAUUGCCUGACAACUGAUUUUGUUUGUAAAAGUCUGCUUCUUCAUACAUAUGAAUGCAUAUGUUUGUGUUUUCUUCUCCUUUUCAUACAUAUGAAUGCAUAUGUUACUUCUUUUCCUUUCCAUACAUAUUAAUACAUAUGUUGGUGUUCUCUCCUGAGAUGGAUGCAAUAAAGGCUUUUCUGAAGAAAUGGCAAGGGAUGUGAGAUUCUGUCUCAUAAAAUUAACAAAAACCCAAAACAAUGAAAACCCAUAAUAAUGUGGUGUGGGUAAAUUGACACCAUUUGGUUCGUUUCCUUGAUUUGAAUACGCGGGCAAUAGAGACUAACAAAAUGAAGUGACAACAAGAAGUCAGUGUCCUUUGAUGGAUGCAUUUUUAGGCAGAAAUAGGUUUGUAAUUGACCAAAUUUGUCUGGCAUGCCAAUUUCAAAAAAAUUAAAUUAUGUGGUUAUUAGCUGUAAUGAAGGGGGAUAGUUGGUCCAAUCAGGUGGAUCCAGGAAAGUUCAACAAAGUUCUGGUAUGGCGUAGAAAUUGGUUUGUGCAACUCAAGAGUCUUUCUGGUGAACGAUGAUGGGUUUUGAUUUAUAAAUGUUAUAAAUCUACUGUGCAUAGUAUUCUAGUAGAAUCAUCUAUAAGUUCUAGUUAUUGAAAUUGUCUACCUUGUUCAGUUUGAGUUAAGGGCACAUGUAAUAUGAAAAAUAGUUGUCGCAUCUUUUAGGUUACCUAACAUUUGAUCAAUCCUAUUAUGAGGGCUUCAAGAUGUCUAACAAUAUGUGGAAUGCCCAUGCUCCUCCCCAUUGUUUAUCUUAUAUAAUAAUUUGUUUUCGAUGCUAAUAUCUUUGUCGAUACCGGUAACAAUAUUAUAAUAUCUGCGUUUAUUGGGUUUUACAUAGGUUCGACUGUUUGACAGUACACACUAUCUGAAGGCAUUUGGAAUUGGAGAUGUAUGGAUUGCUGUUGGGUGGAGUAGUGAUGUUCUUCCUGCUGUCAAACGUAUGUCUAAUGUUGCAGUUGUUGUUCCCAAGUCUGGUGCUAGCUUAUGGGCUGAUCUUUGGGUAUACCCAUGCCUGCCAUUCUACUUCAAUAUUCACAUUGUUAUCUCCUUCAUAUUAGCGAUCAGUAAACACGAUAAUGUGACUAAUAAGUUUGUAUUCUCUUUAUAGCCAAUCCCUGCUGCCUCAAGACUUGAAACAAAACAAAUUGGAGGGCGAGUCAGAGGUCCAUUUCCAUUAAUCCAUCAAUGGAUAGAAUUCUGCUUGCAAACAGCAUGAUCAUUGCCUUUCAAGCAAGAGGUUAUCCCGAGCGCAUCUCCCUCUGCUCUUGAGAGUACUCUGGUUAAGUUGCCUGAAGAACUUUUGAAGGGUAAACCAAGUCUGGAUACUAACUUAAUUGCGGGAGUACCCCCGGCUGAAAUUCUGGCCAGAUGUGAGUUUUUGGAGCCAUUAUCUGAAGCUACUUUGUCAGAUUAUGAGUGGCUGGUUGCUAAUCUGCAAAAACCUGCUCCUGUCUUGAUGAAAAGGGUGCAACGUUACUUGUCAUCAUUAAUCUUUAGCUAAAGGUACAUUGAAAAGUUAAUGGCACUGCAUACCAGUCAUUAUAAUUGGGUCAGGGCAAUUAGGUCAGAGCAUAACUUCAUUAGGAAAAGAGGCUUCAGCUACGUUAAAUAUUACAGGAUGUACAGAGAUGGCUGAAGUUGUUGAGGUUUUACGAGAAACGAAAGAUGAGUGUUUGUUUGAACAAAGUUGUUGCCAAUCUUGCAGAGUUCGAGAAGAAAGAUCACAGAGCGAAUGCCACCGAUUUCUUCAUCAUUGUAGCCUCCAUAGUUGAAGUUUCCUCAUUUGAAGCUGUUUAUGCAUUAAGCUUAUUCCCUGCUCAAGUACAGGAAACUGAAGAAUUAACCAGACAUGAUAUGCUGAAAGAGGGAAGUUUUCUUCCUUGAAUGUGGCCUUGUGAUUUGUAGUGAAGUAAUAGGAUGAUCACUAGCAAGAACCCUAUCAAGGUAGACUUUAUAAUGUCAACAUAUUAUUAAGCAUUUGUCAAUUUAGCACUUUCGCAAUGAUACAUUCAUAGCAUGAAAUUAAUUAUAUGAUCCUGAUUAAUCAAUUAAUCUUCAUGAGAUUUAACCUAGUUAAAACUAAGUACAAUCAUCGUUAACAAAUACUGAAAUUGGGUAAAUAUGAUCUCGACAUUGAAGAAUUUGAAAACACAACCCACAGAGGAAAUUACUUAUUGCAUGGGGAUGGAGAUGGUUACUGCAGGGAUAUAGAAUAUGUGCAAGGUGUUGUCCACUGCUCGUUGGGUUAUGGUGUGACUUGCGAUUUCAAGGUUGCCCUGAAACAAUGGAAAAGAUUAACAUAUCCUCCAAUGAAUAAAAACGGCUUGACUAAUUCAAAUUACUCAGGAUCAGGUGGCAAUAAAACAGUCCAUUUACUUUUCCAGGAUCAGAUGUUGAUAAUAAUAGUUUAUUAAAUGAAAAAUCAUUGUUCUUGGGGGUUGGUUGUAUACGUCAUUACUACUUCAAGUAGAAGAAAAAGGUUGUGUAGGUGAUUUCAGAAAUAAAAUACAUUCUGAGAGAUGAUGGUCCACUAUUGCAUGCCCCCCAGAUUUAAUAAUCAUCACUUUUCCUUAAAAAACUGCUACGCUUUGAUUUUAGUGCUGAAUAUUUAUUGAACUCUGAUAGAGGGAGUUUGAAGUCAAACUCGUAAUUACAGGUUAUCUAAUUGCGAGUUGCUGUCCAUAGCUGUUGAUUUGUAGUGAUUAUUUAAUUGACUGAGGUAACAACAAUUUUUUUUUUAAUUUUCAGUAAAAUAAAUUCUCCUAGUUAAUUUGUUUCAAGUUAAAUUAUUAAUUACUUAAACUCUGUUUUAAGUCUUUAAUUUUAUGUCUUGGCGUAUAUGCAAAAUUGGAUUCUUGAGCGUGCUGGACACGACCAACAAUGAAAUUGACAGUAAAUAAACAUUACAACGUGUGGACUCCGGUAGCUACAAGUCUACAACUUCACAAAUAAUAAUUGAGUAAGCGCCUUUGAUUCUCGGGACCCUUCAAUGAAUUUCUAGUCCCGUUGACUCCGCCGACUAAAGUUCUGUUAAAAAAAAAAAUACAUAGAAUUCCACCAAAUGCAAAACGCGUGGAAUUUAAUUUUCGGCCAUGUGGACCGAAACAUAAUUUAACAAAAAAAGAAAAAAAAUGAUAAGAUUUCUAAAACGUGUGGAAGGUGAUCCAUAUUUUACUGAAACGACUUGUUAAAAUUUUCAAAGAUUUAGAAUAUUUGGUUAUAAAUUACGCUCAUGUUAAUUUUUCUGCCAUUGACUAUCAUAUUCUAGACUUAAUGGUACCUUUCUUGAUGAAGGGUACUUAGUCUCUCUUCUCGUCUUAUAAAAAUUAUAUUAAUUGAUUUCUUGUUAUAAUUAAUAGUCUUUAGGAACGGAUAACUUUAUUGUUUUCAUGACCAAAUUAUGCCUCCUAAGCUUGCGACUAUUAAUAAAAUUAAUAUUUAAUAUUUAUGUUAAAAGAUAUAAGAUUUUAUGCAUUCAUUAAUUGUUAUUAGCUAAAUGAUGAAUUAUUUUUUAAACCCAAUCAGUUGAUGCAUCUGCAAGAGUUUUUUCUUUUAUUGACCAUAAUUAUAUUCCGGGUACAAUAAAUUGUCAUUGGUGCUUGGAAAAUAUGACUUCUUACUUCAAGUUUGAUAUGUCUCUCUCCAUAAGCUUACUGGAAAUAUAUCCUCAUCUACUGUCAUUUAUCUAAUAUCAAUUGAAAGAUCUCACUUUUUCAAACUAUCACUUCCAAGUCUCAUUGUCACUUAGCCAUUCUUGGACCAUUCAAAACCAAUCUGUUGAAAUAAUCAAAUAUAUGCAAAAUUAGAGUCACGAUUGUUGGUCCCCCAAAUUCUAAUUAUAUAUCUUCUAUAUAUCUCAUUGUCAGGUCACGAACUUGUUGGCAUAUUUUCCAAAUUCCUCUUCCAUCAGCUCUCACAUGUUAACUUGAGUGGAAAGUUUCCAAGUUGAUUGCUAGAAAGCAACGCAAAAUCAGACACACUUGAUCUAUCCCCUAAUUCUCGUUUCUACGUUGAAAAAGAAAGUAUAUAUAUAUAUCUAUGUAAAAAUAAAUAAUAAACUGAGUAAAAGUACAUUUGUUUAAUUAACAUCUGAUCGGGGCAUUUUUGGUGUAAUUUCGUGCCGUGUAAGCCACAACUAAAAUCAAACAGCCCCUUAGCAUACUUCUUCCAUAUUAUCUGCUACUUUUGUGGAUCUUAUAGGGUGGGCAUGUGGACAGAAUUUAAAAGUUUUAAUAGUCUCAAAGAAUAAGAUAUGUUAAAGCUAAAGUUGUUGCACCUUCUAAUUAAAUAAAGUUGCAUAAUUUCACCAACUUGAAAGAAUUGACAUUAAUGGACUGGUCCCCUCUCCAUAUAUGAAGCCUUCUUAAAAGUUAAUUUUUAUUUCAGAAAAAAAAAGUUUAAGUUACAUAUAUUACAGUAAGAUUUUUUGAGACCAAUUCCCUUCUUCAAAUGAUAAUGGAAAAGUAUUAAUUUAAAAAUAGCAUGAAUAUGUAUUGAUUAUAUCUUGAUUUUCAUCAAUUAUAGUCAGAGUUUCUCCAAAUCAAUUCCCUUAUUCAAAUAAUACAGAAAAUAAUUUAAUAGUAAAAUAAAUAGGUGUUGAUUAUAUAUCCUAAGUUUCAUCGAUUAUGUGAUCAAAGUGGCAUUGUUGAUUUAUUUCUUGUUCAAUGUUAAUUAAUUUUAGGGGAAUAUUCGGCCAACCUCUGUAAUUUCAGAGUGAUCAUUAAUUAAUUAAACGAUACAAAUAUCUAAAGUGAUUAGAUGUUUGCUGACAAUACAAGUUCAUGGCUUGAAAUUUGAUCUCUAUCGAUUGGUUUACAAAUGGACGCACUUGUGCCUUUGUGGCGAUAAUUGAACAGAGAUGUGAAGUUGUAAAGAUUUGGCAGUAGUAAAUUGUUAUAAAGACAUAAUGACAAGUUCCCAUGAUUAGUAUUUUUUUCCAAAAACUUUGUUACAACAAAUUCAUCUCGCCCAAAAAUUCUAUUUUGCUAACUAACAAUAAUUGAGCACUUGGCCGCAUUGACUCCACGUCUCCACCUACUUUGUAAGUAAAAACAUGGAAAUGUAAUCUCCACAAAAUGCCAAACGUGUGGAAUUUAAUUUUUGGCCUUGUGAAUCAAAAUGCAAAUGAAAGAAAAAGAGAGAAAAAAACAAGGCCCAAAGACUACGAAAAGAUAUAAAAGUCUUUGGGCCUUUUUAUAACGGCGAAUUUUUUAAAAGGCAAAAAUAACAACACUUCUAUGGUUUGUUUUGAUAAUCACAUUUACAUAUACUCUCUAAUUUUCAAAAUGGACACAUAAAUCUUUUUUUUUUCUACAAAUGUAUAUUAUUCGUAUUUUUUAUUAUUUUUAAUAUCAUAUUGUUAUUUAUUAUAAAUGUUUAAAGUAAAUUUUUAGGUUAAAAUAUAAUAAAAGGGUAUAAUCGUUCUCUUAUUAAACACCCAUACUUUUAGUUUCUAUCCAUUUGUCAUCUCAAUCUCUCUCAAUUAUUCUUUAUUGCUAGCUCAAAACGCGUUGCUGUUGCAAAUUAUAGCAAAAAGACAAAUAUGGAAAAGAAAAAAGGGAAGAAAAUUAGUGCAUGAAAGACUUGGAGAAAACAACGAAGUAAGUCAACUAUAAUCUAGCUGGGUGUAUAAAUUGUUUGAUGCUUUAUAAGCAAAUAACAAACAGAGACAGACAGUGUGUGUUCGUUUUUUCAUAGUUAAAGAUAUAGUUAGAAUGGGUGGUUCAAAAUCAAAAAUGGCGAUAAUGUUUGUUAUGUUAUUAAUAAUAUUUAAAAGUGGGUGGAGUGAGGGAUGUUUGGAUCACGAGAGAUUUGCUCUUUUGCGACUGCAACAUUUCUUCAAUGAUCCUCGUAAUUCUCUUUACAACUGGGUCGAUGAUGAGGGAGCUACUGAUUGUUGUCAGUGGGAAAGGGUUGAGUGCAGCAACACCACAGGCCGAGUGAUAGCGCUAGACCUUUUUGAAAUGUAUUCGGGAGAGUACAGCUGGUAUCUGAAUGCUUCUUUGUUUACUCCCUUCCAACAACUUGAGUCACUUGAUUUAACUGCCAACAAAAUAGCCGGUUGUGUUGAGAAUGAAGGUGCUUCGUUUAAUUUAAUUAAUUUACUUUCUCCCCCCUAAUUUAAGUUGAAUAUCAAGACCGAGCAACUAUACGCAUAUUCAUUUAGUCGACAAUUUUGACUUUUUUUUAAGUGAUUAAUUAAUUUUAAAAUUACACCAAUAUCUAUGAUCUUUUUUUUUUUUAAUUUUGCUUGCAGGUCUAGAGAGGCUAUCAAGAUUGAACAACUUGAAGAUGCUUAAUUUAAGUGAAAACUCUUUGAACAAUAGCAUUUUAUCAUCUCUAACUCAUCUUUCAUCAUUAAGCUCAUUAAAUUUAUUUUUAAAUAGAUUGGAAGGAAGUAUUGACUUUAAAGGUACAUAAUUAAAACUUCAUCCCUUCUCCAAGCUCUUUCAUUAACUUGCUAAAAUAAGACUCAAGGCUUUGAAUUCAAUUUUUUUUAUGAUUAGUAUUAAAAAAAACAGUUUUAAGCAAUUUAUAAAUACAAGUUUUAAUGGUUAUCGUAAUUUCAUCUUGUAAUUUCAUAUGUCUUGAAUUUAAGAUUAAAAAAAACUCUAAUAGCGAACCAAACACCUCCACAACUUAUUAUUAUUAUUAUUAUUAUUAUUAUUUGUGGUGAGGUUGGAAACAUUCAACUUAAUUUGUACUUAUUACAGAAUUUGAUUCUUUGAGAGAUUUAGAGGAGCUAGACAUUGGCGGGAACAAGAUUGACAAAUUUGUGGUCUCAAAAGGUACUACAAAUACCACAAAAAAUGUAAACUUUUACAAAUUAGCUGGAUUCUUUGCCAUUUGGUUUAUUAUUUUACAGGUUUGAGUAAGUUGAAGUCUCUUGAUUUAAGUGGUAUCAAACUCAACCGUAGUAUCUUAUCUUCUCUAACUGUCUUUUCUUCAUUAAGAGAAUUACAUCUACGUAAUAUCAUAUUCAAAGGAACAUUUGAUGUUCGAGGUAAGCCUAAGCCUUGCUUUCUCAUUUUCUAUAUGCCAACUAGAUUUGUGUAUCAUCGGCAUAAUUUAAUAUUUAAUUUGAUAAGUCUGAAGGAAUUACAUGCUAAUUUAAACAUACUUUUAUUUACUUUGUCAAUUAAUUAAUUAAUUAAUUACUAUUUGACAUUGGACGGUUCCUCUCUCCAUAUAAGCCUUCUGCAAAGCAUUGCAUCAUUCACUUCGUUAAAAAAUCUGUCGAUGUCUGAUUGUGAAGUCAAUGGUGUCCUACGUGGUCAAGGUAAAAGAAAAGUGUUGAUUGUGAAUAAGCUGUUAAUUAAUUAAUGUUGUUGCUCCUUGCUUCUAAACAGAGUUGCGCAAUUUCACCAACUUGGAAUAUUUGAAUUGGAUUCUUCCUCGCUCCAUAUAAGCCUUCUACAAUUGCUUGAACAAUUUAUUUAUUUAUUUAUUUAUUAUUAUUGUUGUUGUUGUUGUUGUUGAAGUGGGGUGGGCAAGCGUUCACUCAGUUAAUAUGUGGGGAAUUAAAUAUUACAAUCCAAGGUAGAAUUGUGGAAAAUUAAAGCUAAAUGAGAAAUAUGGAAAGAAAGGAAGAAAGUUAAGGGCAUGAAAGACUGGGAGAAUACUAAAAACCACCAAAUAAGUCAACUGAAAACUAGCUGAGGCCUGGGUGUACAAAUUGUUAGAUGUGUUUGUUAUAAAUAACAUAGAGCCAUCUUGUUGGUUGCAGAGGCAGAGAGACAGAGAGUGUGCAUUUUGUCCAGUUAAAAAUGAUAAAAUUUAUCAUUUGUUUAUAUUGAUUUAUUAACUCUAUUUUAAGUCUUAAGUCUUGGCGUCUUGGCAUGUUUGCAGAAUUUGAUUCCUUGAGCAACUUAGAGGAGUUGGACAUGAGCGGCAAUGAAAUAGACAAUUUCGAGGUUCCUCAAGGUACACAAUUAAAAUAUUAUUUAAUUACAUUAAUUUAAUUCGUUUGAUUAGGGAAGGCCCAAAAUGUACAAAAACAUAAUUAGAAAAAAUAAAGAAACAGAGAAUUCAUAUUAUUUCAAAUAACAAAAGGUAAUACUAUUAUUUCAAAAACAGAUUGUAAUAAAGAUUUGAUUCCAAUUCUUUAAUCUUUACAGUGAUUGAAAAACGAUACUACUUCCCAAAGCAUAAAAUACGAAUUGACUCUCAAUUAAAUUAAUCAUUUAUUUCGUUUAGGUCUAAAUUUAGAAAAAUGAAUUUUGAUUCUCUUGAAUCAUUUCCUAAUUAUUAUUAUUCAACAGGUUACAGAGGUUUGAGGAAGCUGAAAAGCCUGCAUCUAUCGGGAGUUGGAAUUAGAGAUGGAAGCAAGUUGUUACAGUCAAUGGGAUCAUUUCCAUCCCUCAACGCUCUUUACCUGAGCAAUAAUAAUUUUACCGGUACAACGUCAACUACUCAAGGUAAGUAAAAGGUACAGAUGUGGCCAAAUUUAUAAAUAAACUGUUAAUUAAUUAAUUUUCUGUAUUAUUAAUAAAGCUAAAUUUUUUGCUCAUUCCUUCUAAUUCUAAACAGAGUUGCACAAUUUCACCAACUUGGAAUAUUUGACAUUGGACGAUUCCUCUCUCCAUAUAAGCCUUCUGCAAAGCAUUGCAUCAAUAUUCCCUUCGUUGAAAAAACUGUCGAUGUCUUAUUGUGAAGUCAAUGGUGUCGUACAUGGUCAAGGUAAAAGAAAAGUGUUGGUUGUGCACUCACUCAGUGGUGUCCUACGUGUUCAAUAUUUUUAUUUAUUUAUUUUAUUGUUUAAUGAGAUGCUUCCACCCUCCCCUUUAAAUCUAUAAUAUUAAUUUUCGAUUAAUAUAUAAUUAUAGAAACCAAUCACUUAUAAAAGAAUGCUAUGCAUUUGCCAAUUUUUUUAUAUUUUACUGAUUGAUGAAUUAAUAAAUUUUCAGGCCUCUGUUCGUUGGUGCAUCUACAAGAGUUGUACAUUGCAACUCUUGUAGUAAUUAAUUAAUUAAGUAUUAGUUAAUUAAUUAAUUAAUUAAUUUUCUGUAUUAUUAAUAAAGCUAAUUUUUUUGCUCAUUCCUUCUAAUUCUGAACAGAGUUGCACAAUUUCACCAACUUGGAAUAUUUGGCAUUGGACUCUUCCUCUCUCCAUAUAAGCCUUCUGCAAAGCAUUGCAUCAUUAUUCCCUUCAUUAAAAAAUCUGUCGAUGUCUAGUUGUGAAGUCAAUGGUGUCGUACGCAGUCAAGGUAAAAGAAAAGGGUUGAAUGUGAACUCACUCAAUGGUGUCCUACGUGUUCAACAUUUUUAUUUAUUUAUUUUAUUGUUUAAUCUUUCUGCUAGGUUUUCCUCAUUUCAAGAGUUUGGAACAUUUUGACAUGGAUUUCACGCGCAUUGCACUCAACACUAGCUUUAUUGCACUCAACACUAGCUUUCUUCAAAUCAUCAGUGAAUCGAUGCCUUCUCUUAAGUACUUAUCACUAUCAUAUUAUACUCUUGGAACUAAUAGCAGCGGGACUCUUGAUCAAGGUUAACGAGAUGCUCCCACCCUCCCCUCCUAAUCUAUAAUAUUAAUUUUUUAUUUAAUAUAAUUACACAAACGAAUCACUUAUAAAAGAAUGAUAUGCAUUUGUUAAUUUUUUUAUUGUACUGAUGGAUGAAUUAAUAAAUUUUCAGGCCUCUGUUCGUUGGUGCAUCUACAAGAGUUGUACAUUGCAAGCAAUGAUUUAAGAGGUAGCUUGCCUUGGUGCAUGGCAAAUAUGACAUCCCUCAGAAUAUUAGAUGUUUCUUCUAAUCAACUUACUGGAAGCAUCUCCUCAUCUCCCCUCGUUCAUUUGACAUCCAUUGAAGAGCUGAUGCUUUCAAACAAUUACUUCCAGAUCCCAAUUUCACUUGAACCACUUUUCAAUUACUCAAGACUCAAGAUUUUCAAUGCUGAGAACAACGAAAUAAAAGCUGAAAUAACUGAGUCACAUUCUUUGAUCGCCCCAAAAUUCCAAUUAAAUACUCUCUCAUUGUCUUCCAAUUACGGAGACGGUUUCAUAUUCCCCAAAUUCCUUUACCAUCAACAUGACCUGGAGUAUGUUGAUCUCUCACACAUAAAGAUGAAUGGAGAAUUUCCAAAUUGGUUGUUGGAAAACAACACAAAAUUAGAAACUCUUUUUCUGGUUAAUGAUUCUCUUGCAGGACCUUUUCGGUUGCCAAUUCAUUCACACAAGCGGUUAAGACAGUUGGAUGUCUCCAACAACAACAUUCGAGGCCACAUUCCAGUAAAAAUUGGAGAUGUUUUACCAAGUUUAUACGUUUUCAACAAUUCCAUGAAUGCUUUAGACGGUAGCAUUCCCUCUUCAUUUGGUAAUAUGAAAUUCCUCCAAAUUCUGGACUUAUCCAACAAUCACUUGACUGGUGAAAUCCCCGAGCACUUGGCCGUGGGUUGCGUCAACUUGCAGUUUCUUGCAUUAUCAAAUAACAACCUACAAGGUCAUUUGUUCUCUAGAAAUUUUAACUUGACAAACUUGCAAUGGUUACAAUUGGAGGGCAAUCGCUUCGUAGGUGAGAUCCCACAAAGUUUGUCUAAAUGCUCCUCACUAGAAGGAUUGUACCUUAACAAUAAUAGUCUUUUAGGUAAGAUUCCACGAUGGUUGGGUAAUCUGACACGGUUACAAUAUAUUAUAAUGCCCAAUAAUCAUCUUGAAGGCCCUAUUCCAGUGGAGUUUUGCCAGCUUGAUUCGCUUCAGAUUUUGGACAUUUCAGACAACAACAUAUCUGGAAGUUUACCAUCUUGUUUCCAUCCUCUCUCUAUCAAACAAGUUCAUCUUUCAAAAAAUAUGUUACAUGGACAGCUAAAAAGAGGUACAUUCUUUAAUUGCUCUUCCCUUGUGACAUUAGAUCUUAGCUAUAACCGCUUGAAUGGCAGCAUUCCGGAUUGGGUUGAUGGGCUUUCUCAGUUAAGCCACCUUAUCUUAGGUCACAAUAAUCUUGAAGGUGAAGUGUCAGUUCAAUUGUGCGAAUUGAACCAACUACAAUUGUUAGAUCUUUCUAAUAAUAAUCUUCACGGUCCUAUUCCUCCUUGCUUUGAUAACACCACACUUCAUGAAAGUUACAGCAAUAGUUCUAGUCCUGAUGAGCAAUUUGAAAUAUUUUUUUCCAUCGAAGGCCAUCAGGGAUUUUUAGAAAAGCAAAACCAUGAAAUUUUUGAGUUCACAACAAAGAACAUUGCGUACAUUUACCAAGGAAAAGUGCUUAGCCUCCUAUCAGGACUUGAUCUUUCUUGCAACAAGCUAAUUGGUCAUAUUCCUCCUCAAAUUGGAAAUUUGACAAGGAUUCAAACAUUGAAUCUCUCGCACAAUAACUUGACAGGAUCGAUCCCAUCAACAUUUUCAAACUUGAAGCAUGUCGAAAGUUUGGAUCUUUCCAACAACAAAUUGAAUGGGAAAAUCCCUCAUCAACUAGUGGAGUUAAAGACAUUGGAGGUUUUCAAUGUGGCAUACAAUAACUUAUCAGGCGAAAUUCCAGAAUGGAAAGCACAAUUUGCAACCUUCAACGAGAGUAGCUAUGAGGGAAAUACUUUUCUUUGUGGACUGCCAUUGCCCAUUUGCAGAUCACCAGCAACUAUGCCGGAGGCUUCAAUUGGCAAUGAACAAGAUGAUAAUUUAAUUGAUAUGGACAGUUUCUUUAUCACAUUUACAACAUCGUACGUAAUUGUGAUAUUCGGAAUUGUUAUUGUUUUAUAUGUAAAUUCUUAUUGGCGACGUAGAUGGUUUUACUUUGUUGAAAUGUGGAUAACUUAAUGUUACUAUUUUGUUGUAAACAAUCUUAUUGCAACAAGAUAUUGUCAUUGAAAUUAAUUAGCAGUUUAAUUACGAUUCUUUAAGUUCUAAUCAAGUUUGCUUAGGAAAUAAUUUUUUUUUUAUUUUUUUAUUAAAAUUGUAGUAGUAUUUAGCGCUAUAUAGCUUCCAACUUGGUAGAAAGCUCCAUUUUUUGUUGGCUACAGUAAAAGCAUGUUGUUUUAUUCUUCUUAUACUUUACGCCUGCAUCAGCUUAAAUCACUUCUUAAACGCUUGCUUUAACUGCACCGCUUCGUACUGCUCUAUAUAUGUAACGGUUAUGCGGUUGUAGCUCACGGCUCAAGCUACGCGUUUGUUUGACGUGGUAGUUACGUUAUGAUGUUUCGAGUCUGUUAAACAUUCGGUGAUAAGAUUAGUUACAACAAACCUACUAGUUUUAUAAAAUUCAAGUGAGAUGGAAUAAAAUAAAAAAUAAAUAUAAAAUUGGCUUUUAUUUUUUAGGUUAACCAUAUUUUGUGUUCUCUUCGGGCACUACUACAAUUGUUCCCUAUACAUCAGUUACACUCACGUAUCAUCGACACGAAAAAUGAAAUCUAAUAUCACCUGUUUAGUUAAAGAAUCACUCAUGAAAAAAAAUUACCAUUUUGAUUUGAAGAUCCAUAUUUUGAACUACCAAUUAAUGUUCAUCAAGAACAGAGUGUGGCCGUUAAGUAGAAAAACUAUUUUUGGACAAAUUAUUAAAUUCCAAUAUUGUAUCCAUAUGCAAACGAUGCCUGAAGCAGAGCCUCCAAACAAUGACCAGGGCACAAAACAAGAGUGUAGUAAUCAAGUGUAUUGUCUCAUAAUCAAUUAAAAGCAGAUAUACAGGAUACCAUAUUCAAUUCCAAAAUAACAAAAGCAUAAUGAGGAUGAGAAGAACAAUGAUCACUCAAAUAUUUCUUCACUUUGGUUGUCAAUUAUCUAUUCAAAUUAAUCAGUGUCAUUAUGGACUUAUUUAUUUAGAAGAGCGGGUGAUAAAUAUAUUCAAUAAUGUGAACAAGAAGUUGAUUAACUUUUAUGAUCAUUUGGAAGGUCGGCGUGUCAUCACUCGUCAAACACAUUGCAUCGAUCCACCAGCAUGAACCGACCGGAUUAUGCCCAAAAGUUGAAAUAUCAAUAAAAAAAACAAUUAAUUAAAGGUCGAAGAUGGGUCCUUUACAUAUGUUUUUGUUUUCGUAUUAGGUAGGAGGUUAUUAUAUUAUAUCAUGUAAUUAAUUUAUUAUUACUCAACACUAAGUAAUAACUUAACUAUAUAAAGACAACAAGAAGAUAAAAUGAUAUAUAAAAAAAAAAAGAAUUUCAAAGAGAUAGCAACAUACAAUAGACUGAAGCCAUUUGAUCUGCUCAUUGAUUUCAGCCUUAAACUUGUAAAUAGUUACUGUCAAAUAUUCUAUUCAUACGAAAAAAAUGUUUAGAUAUCUUACUAUAAAUAUAGCCGUUUGACUGUCUUAAUAAAGUCACACACAACCAUUCUUAUUAAAUUAGCAAGAUCAAACACUGCCCUGGAUCUUGAACAGAUCAACACAAGAUGCACAACUUAUGAUUGAACCCAGAAACAAUCAAAUCUUUAGCAAGAACAAUUAAUCAGAGUCAAGAAACAAGUUUAAUGAAUAUAAACCUAUAAUUGAAACAAACAUAGCCAAGAAAAAAAUACAGAUUUUACACGGUUCAGUUGUACCUAGGAUGGCACAACCUACACCACGAGAGAAGCUUUCUGGUGAGAUUUUAUUGAUGAUCAAAGAAGAAUCUUUUGACAAAGCUAAUAAUAGAGAUUUCAGAGAAUAAGCUGUAACCCUCUCUCCCUCUUCAAUCUCUCUCUAUUUUGUUCCCAUUGAUGACCCCAAUCUGCUUAGUUAUCCAGCUUUAUAGCUGCAUCAGUAACAAACCAGCAAACCCAGAUUGAGCAGAUUGACGACACGUGGAUAACGGCUUUAACGAACCUGGUUAAGAACUGCUCACAUGUUCGUCACGCGUGCUGCUUAAAUGAUGGCCAAAACGACUUCAAACAAAUGUCGUUUUGAGGCUUAUGAAUUACAAGUGAUAACACGAGCUUGUCUCAUGACUUUUAAAUGCAACAACGUGCCCACAACGCCGUCGUUUUACUCUGUUGAGUUUGAUUCAUUACUAAGCUUUACGACUGGCAAUGGAGAAGAUGAUAAUUUAAUUGACACGGACAGUUUUUAUAUCACUUUUACAACAUCCUAUGCAAUUGUAAUAUUGGGAAUUAUUGAUGUUUUAUUCUGUGAAUCCUCAUUGGCAAAAACUAGUGGUUUUAUCUUUGUUGAAAUAUAGAUGACCUCUCGUUACUGUUUUAUUAUAAACAUAUAGUUUCGUAAGUGAAACUAUAUGUUUAUAAUAAAAUUAACAUAUAGUUUUGUUACAUUUCUGCCUCAUUAAGAUUCUCAAAUACCAGUCAGGUUUGCUUAAGAAAUAAAUUUUUUCCAUUAAAAUUGCAGUAGUAUUUCCAAGCAUAUCGCAUUUUCUAUGAGUUUUCAUAAAUUAAUUAAUCUGCGGUGCCAAUAUCAGAUUUAGUUUUUCAAACUAAAUAAUCAAGAAAGCAAACAUACAAAUAUACAGUUUAGAGGGGUAAACUAGGUAGGUGGUUUAGAUUUUAGAACUAAGCCAGCUACCUCGCUAAAUUCCGAUUCGUACAGUGAACUGCAAGAAACUGAGAAAACAAUGUAUUUAUAAUUUAAUAGAAUCAUAAGAAAACAAUGCAGUCAUUGCUCAAUAUAAGAUGAUGAUUUCGGAGAGGCACAUUGUUUUCAAGUUAAUUUGAUCCGUUUAUAAGAGAUGAAGUGGAAUGAAGUUGAAAGUUUAAAUAACAAAUCCUUGUUCUUGAGUUUUACGACGUCGUUACUCCUUCAAGUGGCAGAUUAUGCAAGUGAAUGCAGAAACACAAUGCAUCAUCCGCGGGGAUGAUACAUCAAAAGGCGGGAUUUGUUUAUGCCUGCAGAUUAGCAAUUUCACUCAUAUAGAAAAUUAAUUUUUUAUAUAUACUAAUCAACACUAAAUUGAUUAUGUGUUGUAUGUUUAUAUGCUAAUCAACACGAAAUUAUAUUGAAUUAUUAACAUUCAUAUUCCUAAUAAAAAUUAUUUUCCAUCAGUAUUCAAAAUUUUCACUUAUAGAAAAUGCGUUUUACGUGAAUACUAGUUAUUGUGUAAAUUUGAAUGAUAGCGAAAAAUAAACCUAUUUGAAAACUGUAAGGGUGUGUUGGGAUAUUUUACAACUGUCGGAAUCUGGUAGGAUAUUGCACCAUUUGCCCAAUAUUUUUAGACGUACUCCAACCGGUAUUCAAGAUAAGUAAAAUUUACAAGCGUGGCAAAAUAAAAAAAAAUUAAAUUCGUAACUUGUAAACGAAUUUUCCUGACAUGUAUAGUAAAUGAAGUUGUUGAUCCUUUCUUUGGAUUAUUUCAGCUCUGGUUGUUGGUCACCGAUGAGCCGAAGUCUUAUUUUAAUUUUAUUUAAACUCAUCAUAAGAUUCGUGGAGCACCUAACUAACUUAACUGACUGCGCAGAUCAUCUCAACAUGGCAUAUUUAACCAUCAUUCAAGUGAUGGGUUUAAUAAGACUGCUUUUGUUCUAUCAACUAUCAAGUUCCUCUGCCUCUAAGCAGAAUUACUAUUGAAGGGCCAAAAGGAAAAUGAAAACGUGUGAGCUCCAACAACCACCCCACAAAUUCAAUGACGAUGCUCGGAGAGGGUUAGGUUGGGCCUCUGAGAAAAAAAAAAAUUAUUUUGUUAAAAAGUUACCCUUAUUGAAACCUGUAUAAACAUUUUAUAUUAAUUAGUUAUGUCGCCUCUUCAACGAUGAUCAAAUUCUUAUCUGAGCUCAUCAUUUAAUGAGUAAACAUGUAUUUUAAUGAUCUCAAUUAAUAUUUAGAACAAAUAUUUUAAGAAGUAAAGCUCAUUAUAUCUUCCAUUAUUAUGUAUUUCUUUAAUUUCUUAUUUACAUAAUUAUAUUGUACAUUAAAAAUGUAUUGAAUUUGAAGAAAAAAAAAUUCAACUCAAAAAAAAAAAAUGCUGGUAGCUUCGUAAUAAUUACUGUAUUGACUGCACCAGAUAAAGUUUUGUAAAAUAAUAAGUUCUCAUAAGUGGUUUUUCAUUUUUAAUUUUCUUUUCCGGCACACCUGAUCAAGAAUUCUAUUUUGUUAACUAAUCAAUUGCAAAGCAUAAGUGUUGAACGGUACAAAAAAUUUAAAAAAAAUACACUUAAAACGUGGGGUGGGUAACGGCUCACUCAAAUCGUUAGGUAGAAUUGUGGAAAACUAAAGCGAAAUGAGAAAUAUAGAAAGAAAGGAAGAGGUGAUGUUUUUCUAUGAAUUUCUAUGGGUAACGGCUCACUCAUCCUUCUAUGAAUUUCUAGCUGUAUUGACCCCAACUGCUAAAGUUUUGUAAAAUAAAAAUAAAAAUAAAAAACUGGAAUUUCAACAAAAUUCAAAACGUUUGAAAUUUAAUUUUUGGCCAUGUGGAACAAAAUGUAAAUUAAGUAAAAAAUAUAAAUCUCAAUUGCUUAGUAUGGUUAGGAUUUUGUGAGCAUCACUAAAAAGUGAAAACUAUGAAUGAUAGAGGUGAUGUUUGCAACAUGAAUAAAUGAUGAACUGAAUCAAUUGAUGAUCGUAAUUACAUAAUGAACAAAAUUUACAAAAUCAACAAAAGUUAAUAAAAAAUUAUUUUAAUAAUAAAAAAUCAAUAAAACUUAUUAUUUAAGGGCGCUCUAACCAUGGAAUACCAUAAUCAUAAUCUUCUUUUAAGAAAAUUAUAACUUAUUAUUUUACAGGAUUGAUCCAUUUGGAAUGAAGUGGUCUCAAGUUGAAAGUAAUUAAUUUAUUGAAUAACUUUCGACUUAUUAAUAGUUAUAUCAAAGGGUGUUUUACCUCAUCAUGUCUUCAAGUGGAAGAUGAAGACUAUGCAAGUGAAUUCAGGAAUAUUGCAUGCCUGUUGUCUAAAGCAUUACCUCACAAGGUUUCAUGAGAAACGAAAGAUGUGUUUGCUUUGAACAAUUAAAGUUACUGCUACGAACCUCCCCAAAGGUCAAGAAGACAGAACAGGAAGCUAAUGCCAUCAAUGUCUUGUUCAUUAUAGCUGCUGGGUAGUUAGGUGUAGUUUCCUCAUUUGAAGCUGUCUAUACAUAGGCAUUUCCCCUGCUUAUGUACAAAUAAAUGAACAACCUUGAAGCUUUAUUAUUCGCAACAAAAAGGGAUUACUAAUUGGAGAAGACAAUACAGAGUUUUCUCUCACACUUUCUCUCUGUCAAUUUCAUCCAGAAGUCCCUCUGAAAGCUUCUCCCAAAACAGUUAGUCAUCUUUUAUGCUCUGUUUUCUGAAAACAGAGUCCUAACUAAAUUAAUUGACUGUACAGUGCAUUUCAACAUAGCAUAUUUAACCGUUUUAACAGUUAUUUGGACCGUCUUCAGAGGUAACAUCAACAAACUCAUUCAUAUGCUUAAUAAUGAACGAAUAGUCUUGGAUCGAUGUUUUGCAGCAAGAGCAACACGACACAAUCUGGAUUCAACCUCCUCCUUUCUAACAGGGGAUUUCGAUUUGAGUUACUUUGUGCUCAAGCAAAUUCACAUCAUAGUUUUGAUUCUUUAGAUAUGAAUUCAUCUCAUUACAUAUAUCAGAUUAAGUGUAACAAAAUUUGUAAUUUACUGCGAAAAGAAUAUGCACUAAAAAAUGAUUUCAAGACUAUUUGACUACAAAAAGCAGCUGUCAGAGUGCACUAAAAAUUUCUGUAGGAUAUUUUGUAGCUGUUUAAUAUGUUAUGAUGGGCAUAUAAUUCUCAAAUUUUGAUGCCUCUCAGCGAAAAAUAUAUCAAAGUUACGGAUGAUAUCACGUAAAACAUGCAUGGCUCAGGCUCAGGCUCAGGUAAGAAAGCCACAGAAAAGGAAAAUCUCACUGUCACGACUCACGUCACGCAUCAUUCAAGUGAUGGAUUUAACAAGACUGCUUAUGUUCUAUCAAAUUCCUCUGCCUCUCAGAAGAUAACUUUUCUGGGCCAAAUUUCUCAUCUAAAGCAUAUUAUGCCCCAAAGUCACAGAUAACAAAAUGGGGCACUACCGAUUAUGAAAGAGAACUAGUAGUUGUCAGAAGCCUAAGCCAAAUUCCGGUAGUAAGAAGAGGCCUUUCUUGAGUUUAGAUUAUGUGUUCGAGUUUUAAUAAAUGCCUAAGUUAAUAAUAAUAACAACAGUAAUAAUAAACUAAAAAGCAUAAUUACUAUUGAAUGGUAAAAAAAAAAAUGAAAAUGUGUGAACUCCAAUAACCACCCCAGUGGCGAAUUUUGGAGAGGGCUAGGCCGGGCUUCUUAGAAAUUAUUUUUAUUUAAUUACAAAAUCACCUUUACUGAAACCUAUAUAAAAUUUUUUAUAUUAAUUAAUUAUGUUGCCUCUUCAAUUAUCAUUAAAUUCUUGUCCGUUCAUAAUUUGAUGGACAAAUGUGUAUUUCAAUAAUUUCAAAUAAUGUCUAGAACAAAUAUUUUGAAUUAUAAAACUCAUUAUGUCCUGCAUUACUAGAUGUAUCUAUAAUUUAUUAUUUACAAAUUAUAUUGUAUGAUAAAAAUGUAUUGAAUUUUUUUUUAAAAAAAAAGUUCGGCUCACUCAGAAAAAAAUGUUAUUAGCUUCGCCACUGCACAAAUCUAGAAUAAUAAUUAUUCCUUAUUAUAUUGACUGCACCAAGCAAUAAACUAAUAAGUUCUCAUCAGUGGUUUUUAAUCUUUUUAAUUCUUUUUACCGCACACCUGAUCAAGAAUUUUAUUUUGUUAACUAAUCAAUUGCAAAGCAUAUAUAAGUGUUGAACGGUACACAAGAUUGGAAAAAAAAAUCUUAAAAAACGUGCGGAUUCGGGUGGCCACACCAGAAAUCUAUUACAAUAAUUAGCUUUGAUGCUGGGAAUCUUUUAAUUUCUGGCCGUAUUGAAGUUUUUAAAAUAACAAGUUCCCCUUCUCGUUUUUUUUUUUUUUAAAUAUAUAUGCUUAUAACAAUUUUAGAAUAAUGAUUCAUUUGUAGAAGAACUUAUGAUUUCCCAUUAAUAUUAAUAUUGAAGUGGGGUGGGUCAAAUCUCAAUUGCUUGAAGAAUUUAUGUAUUAUUAAAUAUUACCAUCCAAGGUAGAAUUGUGGAAAAUUAAAGCAAAAUGACAAGUAUGGAAAGGAAGGCUGAAAGUAAGGCAUGACGAAAGGCUUUGAGAAGGCUGAAGACUACCAAAGAAGUCAACUGAAAACUAGCUGGGGCCUGAGUGUAUAAAUUGUUAGAUGCGUUUGUUAUAAAUAACAUAGAGCCCUUUUGUUAUUUAUAGUUAUAGAGAAAGAGAGAAUGUGUGUUUUUUAAUAGUUAGAGAUAUAGCUAGAAUGGGUUGCUCAAAAUCCAAAAUAGUGACAAUGUUAGUUCUCGUAUUGAUAAUAUUGGGGGGGGGGGGGGGGGGGGGGGGGGGGGGGUGUUGGGAGGUCGAGUGAGGGAUGUUUGGAGCAUGAGCAAUUUGAUCUUUUGCGGCUUAAACAUUUCUUCAAUUAAUAUCGAUCUGGGAGAGUGGUAUCUGAAUGCUUCUCUAUUUACUUCCUUUCAACAACUUUGGUAACAAAAUAGCCGGCUGCAUGCGUUGAGAAUGAAGGUGCUUCAUUUAAUUUAAUUUACUUAAUUUCUCCCUCCUAAUUAAUGUCUAUAAUCAUUAGGAGGAACAAGGGAUUUUAUUAACUCAAAUAUAUCUAAUGGAGCUCAUUCUUUGGUUUUACUUGCAGGGCUAGAAGCAGGUGUCAUCUAACAGCUGCUUUGAUAAUUUCCCUCCCCUUCAUCUUUGAUGGAAAGAUGAAAUAAAAACAAAUUGGUGAAAAUGGUAUUGGUACCUGAGGCUAUGUAAUCUAAUUCAAAAACUGCACCAUCAAAACGAUUACAUAAGUCUCAGAAGAAUCAAAUAUCAGUUUGCAAAAUAUCAAUUGCUGGAGGUUUGAUUCUAACUUCCGCUCUUCAUUUUUAUGGGCAUAUUGUGUUGUACUUGGCAUCCGAAAAUCAUAUUUUAGUUUACUUGCACUCAAUGCUUGGAUUAAAGUUUUUUUUUGGGGGGGGGGGAUUGAAGAAGACUAAAAUUACACCAAAAAAGAGUUGAGCGAGAGCGGGUUUUGUCUUCAUUUAAGGAGCUCUUUAUAAAUUUUGGGAUUUUUUUCCUGAGAAAAUUUAUGCCAACUCAUUCUUUGCUUCUUUUCUGAAGGGACACAUGCAACCGAAAGUAUAUUCUUGAAUUCUCCAGGAUAAGAGACAUACGUUUAGAUUCUGGAGCAUUUAAAACAAUGUCAAAUUUUAGAUUGCUGAAAUUUUAUAUAUCCGAGUAUGAUGGUGUUCCAAUUAUAAGCUCCAGGGUGCAACUUCACUGAGGUUUAGAAUGCCUUCCUAUAGAAUUGAGAAAUCUCCAUUGGCAUAAAUAUCUUUUUGAAAAUACUGACAUCAGAUUUUGAAUUGGAGAACCUGAUUGGACUCAGCUUGCCCUGUAGUAAGGUUAAGCAAAUUUGGAAAAGAGAAAAGGUAUAAUGUAUUACUAUUACCAAAGUAUCUAUUUUUCUUUCUUUAAGUAUUUAUAAUGAAUAACUUUGAAAUUCAAUGAUGCUCAUUUAGUAUAGUUAUGUAUCUUUGGUUAUAGGAAGCUGUCAAGUUAAAAUCUAUAGACCUUCACCACCCCUUUAUCUCAAUAGGAUCCCAGAAAUACUAAAUCUUAAAAAAAUAAAUCUUUCAAAUUGUGAAAGCAUGCUUACGUUACCCCCGUAUAUCCACAAUUUCAACUAGCUGAGUAUGUUGUGUUUCAGGGAUGCAAAAUUCAUUUUGUUUCUCAUUGAAAGGAUUGACUUGUCCGGAUGUAUUAGGGUUAGUAAACCAACUAAUCCCAUAAUUUGUUGAUGUAGGGUCCUAACAAAUUAUUGCAGUAGAUUGUAGAUCAGUACACUAUUCGAAAACGUAUUUGAUCCACACAGUGAAGUGGAUAUUGGACCAAUUUGAUGAUAAUGAAUUUCUUUCAAUCUCAAUCUUUUUUCUUUUUAGCAACAUGACUAGUCAUUGUGCAAAUUCAAACUCUGACAAUAAUUUCUCAAUCGGUUUCUAAGAUGAUGACCAUGCAUGUAUAUGUAUAUUGCGUGUGUAUAUGUGUGUGUGUGUAGAGAGAGAGAGAGAGAUCACACGUGUGUGAUUUCCUUUUGCCAAUAGGAUAUGCAAGAGAGCUUGAUCUUACCCAAUAGCGAAACAAACUUCCUAAUAAGUGAAGGUAUAGUAUAAAUACUUAUACUUUCAUGUUAUUUUGUUCAUCAGUAGCUUGAUUAUUUUAUAUGCGUCUUCGAUUUUAAUUUUCUUUCCCUAUAAUCGCUAUUAUCUUUGAACUGGUCAUAAUUUGCCCAUAAGAUUUCUCAUGUUGUUUUGAGGUGCAACGGAUUUUGAAUUAGUGACAAGCAGUGGAAGCCAGAAGGCAAAUUAUGAAAAUGGAUAAAGAUCUAUAAUUAGCUGUUAUGGGAUGUCACAUAUCAUAUUGAUGGUAACGUUAUAUAUAUGUACAUAUAAUUAAUGGGGUUGGCUCACGAGCCCAUUAAUUAAUGGUUAUAUUAGCUUAUAUACUUCAAACAAUGUACUAUGAAGCAAUUUCACAAAUACUUGUUAGCUUAUGUUGAGCUUUAUUGAAUCAGUAGUUCACAGUUCAAUAAAAUGCAGGUUUGCUAUUUGAAGUACAUGGUUAUGGUGCGUACAUUCUUCAUAAGGCUAACUACUAAUUUAUCAUUGAAACUUGAAAAAUGUGAUAGAGAGAUGUAGAUAACAGCCGCAAAACACUGAAUUGAAAAUCAGGGCUACUAAAUUCUAUUAAAAGUCCUUAAAAUAGACAGCGAUCACCCUGAAAUGUAUAUACUGAAACUAAGAAAAUAUUAAUCGCAAAGUUAUGCAUUAAUAGAACUAUUGACUACUUAUCUUUAGCAUAAAGUAUAUUUUUAACUACAGCUUUCUGCUUUGUUCUAAGAACUAGGCAAAAGUGGUGUAUCUUCAAUCCAAUCAACAUAUAUACCACUUAUCUUCCUCUUCACUUCUGUCUAUUUUGAUUUGCACUUCAUAUCCUGCACUUGCUGCUUAGAAAUAGUCUUUAUUCUGGACAUUUGAAAGUAGAAAAAGUACUUGAAACAAUCAUUGGCACAGCCCGAGAUUCCAUUGAAUCGUGGACUCCAAGCUUUCAUAGUUCUAUAAAGAAGAUGACAAAACUUCAUACAACUGGCAUUCUGCUUUUAACAUUUGCACAACCUGAGCGAGUUAGCAAGCCCCUUGUUGCGUUCCCAUUGAAUAGACCUACUUCUGUUAUCCGCAGAAGAUCCACCACUCAAAAUGUUUAUCACCAGGCUAUUCCUUAAAACUGAGCCUAAACUGAGUAGAACUUCCGCACAUCUCUCAGCAUUUACAUGAAGAAAUCGGACAACUAUCCUCAUCUCUCAGCACAUCUCUUCAGCAUUCUACAAAGUUGCAUUUCACUAAGCAAUCUAUCCUCUCCAUUCCUAGCAAAGUGACAUUGAUUCCCGUAUUUGUAAUCGCCUAACUUGGGUUUUGGGCAUAGCGUGGUCUUAAAAUUACCACCCCAAUACUUUGUUCAGUGCCACUGGCAUCCACAAGCUCUAGCCCUGUUAGUUGAAUCAUAUUCAAUGGGACAGUGAGGCAGCAUUUCACUAACAUUAUUCAAUUUGACUACUUAUAUUGACGCAAAUAUUAGAAUUUGAAAUCACUUCUUUUAUUGGAAUAUUAUAUUAAUAUGACCCCAAAUGAAAGUUCUUGAAUGGAAAUGAUUUUUAUUUACUUUUCGAACAGAUUCAAGAAAAACCCAGGAGAACACAAAAUUUACACAGUAAUAUGAUUAAGAGCUGAGAACGUAUAUGUAGUAAAUGUCUAUCAAAAACACCCAAGGGUUUCUUUAAAAAUUAGUAACUAGUAAACAAAAAGAAAGAAUCAUUUUACAUUUUUAGCAACUUUGGGGUGAGUGAGUGAGUGAGAAAUUGAAACCCUCAAGUGAUGACAACAGUAAGAUUCCAGUAUGAAGUGAAACCCCAAUUUGAAAUGUAGGCAUGAGUUGCUGAGUCAGUAGAUGAAGCUAUAAAUAGGCAUUCGGUUUCCUUCUUUUCGGUUUGGAGGGCCAUGGAAUAGUGUAUUGGAGUGGGCUCCAAGUAAUAGCCUCUAUCACUGGAACGACACAUCUAUAAAAUGUGAUACAUGGGGAAGGAUUGGGCAUUUUAUUCUUAGAUUAGCCCCUUAUUUAGGGUGUAUAUUAAGCAGAUUAUAUAUUACAUGGAGAUGGAGUUUAUGAAAUAGAUUAAAAAGAAAAGGAAAUUUUUGGUGCCCUAAAGUUUGCCACUUGGAAUAUUUCGGUGUCUAAAAAUUCACUCACCACUUAUUUCAUGUUUGAUUAUAUGUUGAAAAGAUAUUAAAAUAGUAUAAUGCUAUUAAGGCUUAACGUAUAUUUUUUAUUAGUAGAGUGGUAGAAUUUUUAAGAAAUAAAUUAUUAAAUUAUUAUAACUAACAUAUUAUUUUAAAGUUGUGUUAUGAAAAAAAUGAAAUAAAAAUGUACAGUAAAUAAGAAUAUUUUAAAACUUUUAUCUUUUUAAAAUUAGUUUUUAACAUAAGGUGAACUAUUUUUUUUUUUUAAAAUCACAUAUUCUAGUUAAAAUCAAAUAUGUAUUUAUACGAAGCUUGUAAAUUUUUUUUUUUAGUACUGAUAUUUUGAAUAUUAUCAAUAAAAAAAAGGUAAUGUUCAUGCUGCAUUAUUUUUGUAGCACACAAAAGGACAACACCGUUUAUGUUAUAAUACUAUCGCUUCUGUUAUGAUAAUUUUUUUUGUGGCCAAAUAUCUUUUUUUUUUUUAAGUAAAAAAAGUGGACAAAAUGCAAAUCAGUUUUUAAUCCUCAAUCUCUCCCAAAAUAUAUAUUUCGGUGUCUAAAAAUUCACUCACAAAACUAUAGCUGACAAAAAGUUACUAACAAAAAGUUAGGUCCAUGGGUUGUUAAAACUAUAGCUGACAAAAAGUUACUAACAAAAACAGAAUGUCCAUUUUAUAACUUUCUUAAAAAACUUUCCUUAACUUUUUUAAACAAAAAGUUAUUUCCAAUUUUUAUUUUGUUAUAAUGUUUAUAACAAAAUUCGUAGUUAACUAAACUCUUCUUAUACCCUUUCUCAACUGCCAUACCCUAACCCACUAAACCACGCUCAAUUAAGGCCAUCAGAUUCUCCGGGCCCACAUUAAUCCAACUGCUCACAGAGACCGACAGCCUCUCUAUCUCCAUUUCAAGCUCCCUCUUCAACUGGCUUCUGCUACCGUCCUACUCUUUCUCGGCUUCGGAGUCCGUAUUUGCUCGGCCUGUCCCACGAAGCUCCCUCUCACUCCAAUUGUCGCCCCACAAGACCAAUUGCUUAAUCAAGACACCGAACAAGAAAAGGAUGAGAAGUUGAAACAAGAAUUUGAGAAUUGGAAAUAAAAACGUACGCAUUGACCGUGCCUUUGAGAGUCGUUUCUCUUCAGAACUCAGUGCCUCAAUCUUGGGUUAAGGAUUUUAUGCGAAGUCAGGGAAAGAGAUUGAAGUUUCAGAUGAAUUUGUGUGCUAGCAUUGAUGGGAUCUUUAACAAUUUAUCUGUGCCCUUUAACAAAGUUAAGGCUAAGUCAGCUUCUUAUAUGGCUGCUGAUUUGGUUAGUGUUGGUGAUUCAUGGCUUAGUUUUGCCAUUAAAAAGAGAUUGAUUGAGCCAAUGGCUGGAGCUGAAGACCAAGAUUGGUUCAAAUGCUUAAGUCACAAAUGGAAGGUAACAUCUUUGUCUUUGAUCCUCGAGGUAAAAUAUGGGCGGCACCGUACAGGUGGGGCACAACGGUGAUAGCCUACAAGAAAAGUAAAUUUCGAAAGCAUAAUUUGGCUCCGAUUGAGGUAAUAAUUUUCUUUAAACUCAUUUAGUUUUAUAUCAAACAAAAUCAAGACUGCCUUUCUCUUCAAUAUUUUUUAUGAUAAUAUCUUUAGAAGCAUCUCAUUGACGGGUAACAAUGGCAUCCCUGAAAGAGUCUAUAAACUCAAUGAUAUUAUCUUCUACAAAUGGUUCAUUAAACUUUGUCGUUGUACUCAAAUGUACACUCAGAUCAAUGAGAAGNNNNNNNNNNNNNNNNNNNNNNNNNNNNNNNNNNNNNNNNNNNNNNNNNNNNNNNNNNNNNNNNNNNNNNNNNNNNNNNNNNNNNNNNNNNNNNNNNNNNNNNNNNNNNNNNNNNNNNNNNNNNNNNNNNNNNNNNNNNNNNNNNNNNNNNNNNNNNNNNNNNNNNNNNNNNNNNNNNNNNNNNNNNNNNNNNNNNNNNNNNNNNNNNNNNNNNNNNNNNNNNNNNNNNNNNNNNNNNNNNNNNNNNNNNNNNNNNNNNNNNNNNNNNNNNNNNNNNNNNNNNNNNNNNNNNNNNNNNNNNNNNNNNNNNNNNNNNNNNNNNNNNNNNNNNNNNNNNNNNNNNNNNNNNNNNNNNNNNNNNNNNNNNNNNNNNNNNNNNNNNNNNNNNNNNNNNNNNNNNNNNNNNNNNNNNNNNNNNNNNNNNNNNNNNNNNNNNNNNNNNNNNNNNNNNNNNNNNNNNNNNNNNNNNNNNNNNNNNNNNNNNNNNNNNNNNNNNNNNNNNNNNNNNNNNNNNNNNNNNNNNNNNNNNNNNNNNNNNNNNNNNNNNNNNNNNNNNNNNNNNNNNNNNNNNNNNNNNNNNNNNNNNNNNNNNNNNNNNNNNNNNNNNNNNNNNNNNNNNNNNNNNNNNNNNNNNNNNNNNNNNNNNNNNNNNNNNNNNNNNNNNNNNNNNNNNNNNNNNNNNNNNNNNNNNNNNNNNNNNNNNNNNNNNNNNNNNNNNNNNNNNNNNNNNNNNNNNNNNNNNNNNNNNNNNNNNNNNNNNNNNNNNNNNNNNNNNNNNNNNNNNNNNNNNNNNNNNNNNNNNNNNNNNNNNNNNNNNNNNNNNNNNNNNNNNNNNNNNNNNNNNNNNNNNNNNNNNNNNNNNNNNNNNNNNNNNNNNNNNNNNNNNNNNNNNNNNNNNNNNNNNNNNNNNNNNNNNNNNNNNNNNNNNNNNNNNNNNNNNNNNNNNNNNNNNNNNNNNNNNNNNNNNNNNNNNNNNNNNNNNNNNNNNNNNNNNNNNNNNNNNNNNNNNNNNNNNNNNNNNNNNNNNNNNNNNNNNNNNNNNNNNNNNNNNNNNNNNNNNNNNNNNNNNNNNNNNNNNNNNNNNNNNNNNNNNNNNNNNNNNNNNNNNNNNNNNNNNNNNNNNNNNNNNNNNNNNNNNNNNNNNNNNNNNNNNNNNNNNNNNNNNNNNNNNNNNNNNNNNNNNNNNNNNNNNNNNNNNNNNNNNNNNNNNNNNNNNNNNNNNNNNNNNNNNNNNNNNNNNNNNNNNNNNNNNNNNNNNNNNNNNNNNNNNNNNNNNNNNNNNNNNNNNNNNNNNNNNNNNNNNNNNNNNNNNNNNNNNNNNNNNNNNNNNNNNNNNNNNNNNNNNNNNNNNNNNNNNNNNNNNNNNNNNNNNNNNNNNNNNNNNNNNNNNNNNNNNNNNNNNNNNNNNNNNNNNNNNNNNNNNNNNNNNNNNNNNNNNNNNNNNNNNNNNNNNNNNNNNNNNNNNNNNNNNNNNNNNNNNNNNNNNNNNNNNNNNNNNNNNNNNNNNNNNNNNNNNNNNNNNNNNNNNNNNNNNNNNNNNNNNNNNNNNNNNNNNNNNNNNNNNNNNNNNNNNNNNNNNNNNNNNNNNNNNNNNNNNNNNNNNNNNNNNNNNNNNNNNNNNNNNNNNNNNNNNNNNNNNNNNNNNNNNNNNNNNNNNNNNNNNNNNNNNNNNNNNNNNNNNNNNNNNNNNNNNNNNNNNNNNNNNNNNNNNNNNNNNNNNNNNNNNNNNNNNNNNNNNNNNNNNNNNNNNNNNNNNNNNNNNNNNNNNNNNNNNNNNNNNNNNNNNNNNNNNNNNNNNNNNNNNNNNNNNNNNNNNNNNNNNNNNNNNNNNNNNNNNNNNNNNNNNNNNNNNNNNNNNNNNNNNNNNNNNNNNNNNNNNNNNNNNNNNNNNNNNNNNNNNNNNNNNNNNNNNNNNNNNNNNNNNNNNNNNNNNNNNNNNNNNNNNNNNNNNNNNNNNNNNNNNNNNNNNNNNNNNNNNNNNNNNNNNNNNNNNNNNNNNNNNNNNNNNNNNNNNNNNNNNNNNNNNNNNNNNNNNNNNNNNNNNNNNNNNNNNNNNNNNNNNNNNAGAGAGAGAGAGAGAGAUCACACGUGUGUGAUUUCCUUUUGCCAAUAGGAUAUGCAGAGAGCUUGAUCUUACCCAAUAGCGAAACAAACUUCCUAAUAAGUGAAGGUAUAGUAUAAAUACUUAUACUUUCAUGUUAUUUUGUUCAUCAGUAGCUUGAUUAUUUUAUAUGCGUCUUCGAUUUUAAUUUUCUUUCCCUAUAAUCGCUAUUAUCUUUGAACUGGUCAUAAUUUGCCUAUAAGAUUUCUCAUGUUGUUUUGAGGUGCAACGGAUUUUGAAUUUAGUGACAAGCAGUGGAAGCCAGAAGGCAAAUUAUGAAAAUGGAUAAAGAUCUAUAAUUAGCUGUUAUGGGAUGUCACAUAUCAUAUUGAUGGUAACGUUAUAUAUAUGUACAUAUAAUUAAUGGGGUUGGCUCACGAGCCCAUUAAUAAUGGUAUAUUAGCUUAUAUACUUCAAACAAUGUACUAUGAAGCAAUUUCACAAAUACUUGUUAGCUUAUGUUGAGCUUUAUUGAAUCAGUAGUUCACAGUUCAAUAAAAUGCAGGUUUGCUAUUUGAAGUACAUGGUUAUGGUGCGUACAUUCUUCAUAAGGCUAACUACUAAUUUUCAUUGAAACUUGAAAAAUGUGAUAGAGAGUAGAUAACAGCCGCAAAACACUGAGAUUGAAAAUCAGGGCUACUAAAUUCUAUUAAAAGUCCUUAAAAAUAGACAGCGAUCACCCUGAAAUGUAUAUACUGAAACUAAGAAAUAUUAAUCGCAAAGUUAUGCAUUAAUAGAACUAUUGACUACUUAUCUUUAGCAUAAAGUAUAUUUUUAACUACAGCUUUCUGCUUUGUUCUAAGAACUAGGCAAAAGUGGUGUAUCUUCAAUCCAAUCAACAUAUAUACCACUUAUCUUCCUCUUCACUUCUGUCUAUUUUGAUUUGCACUUCAUAUCCUGCACUUGCUGCUUAGAAAUAGUCUUUAUUCUGGACAUUGAAAGUAGAAAAAGUACUUGAAACAAUCAUUGGCACAGCCCGAGAUUCCAUUGAAUCGUGGACUCCAAGCUUUCAUAGUUCUAUAAAGAAGAUGACAAAACUUCAUACAACUGGCAUUCUGCUUUUAACAUUUGCACAACCUGAGCGAGUUAGCAAGCCCCUUGUUGCGUUCCCAUUGAAUAGACCUACUUCUGUUAUCCGCAGAAGAUCCACCACUCAAAAUGUUUAUCCAGGCUAUUCUUAAACUGAGCCUAAACUGAGUAGAAACUUCCGCACAUCUCUCAGCAUUUACAUGAAGAAAUCGACAACUAUCCUCAUCUCUCAUCUCUCAGCAUUCUACAAAGUUGCAUUUCACUAAGCAAUCUAUCCUCUCCAUUCCUAGCAAAGUGACAUUGAUUCCCGUAUUUGUAAUCGCCUAACUUGGGUUUUGGGCAUAGCGUGGUCUUAAAAUUACCACCCAAUACUUUGUUCAGUGCCACUGGCAUCCACAAGCUCUAGCCCUGUUAGUUGAAUCAUAUUCAAUGGACAGUGAGGCAGCAUUUCACUAACAUAUUCAAUUUGACUACUUAUAUUGACGCAAAUAUUAGAAUUUGAAAUCACUUCUUUUAUUGGAAUAUUAUAUUAAUAUGACCCCAAAUGAAAGUUCUUGAAUGGAAAUGAUUUUUAUUUACUUUUCGACAGAUUCAAGAAAACCCAGAGAACACAAAAUUUACACAGUAAUAUGAUUAAGAGCUGAGAACGUAUAUGUAGUAAAUGUCUAUCAAAAAACACCAAGGGUUUCUUUAAAAUUAGUAACUAGUAAACAAAAAGAAAGAAUCAUUUUACAUUUUUAGCAACUUUGGGUGAGUGAGUGAGUGAGAAAUUGAAACCCUCAAGUGAUGACAACAGUAAGAUUCAGUAUGAAGUGAAACCCCCAAUUUGAAAUGUAGGCAUGAGUUGCUGAGUCAGUAGAUGAAGCUAUAAAUAGGCAUUCGGUUUCCUUCUUUUCGGUUUGGAGGGCCAUGGAAUAGUGUAUUGGAGUGGGCUCCAAGUAAUAGCCUCUAUCACUGGAACGACACAUCUAUAAAAUGUGAUACAUGGGGAAGGAUUGGGCAUUUUAUUCUUAGAUUAGCCCCUUAUUUAGGGUGUAUAUUAAGCAGAUUAUAUAUUACAUGGAGAUGGAGUUUAUGAAAUAGAUUAAAAAGAAAAGGAAAUUUUGGUGCCUAAAGUUUGCCACUUGGAAUAUUUCGUGUCUAAAAAUUCACUCACCACUUAUUUCAUGUUUGAUUAUAUGUUGAAAAGAUAUUAAAAUAGUAUAAUGCUAUUAAGGCUUAACGUAUAUUUUUUAUUAGUAGAGUGUAGAAUUUUUAAGAAAUAAAUUAUUAAAUUAUUAUAACUAACAUAUUAUUUUAAAGUUGUGUUAUGAAAAAAAUGAAAUAAAAAUGUACAGUAAAUAAGAAUAUUUUAAAACUUUUAUCUUUUUAAAAUUAGUUUUUAACAUAAGGUGAACUAUUUUUUUUUUUAAAAUCACAUAUUCUAGUUAAAAUCAAAUAUGUAUUUAUACGAAGCUUGUAAAUUUUUUUUUUAGUACUGAUAUUUGAAUAUUAUCAAUAAAAAAAAGGGUAAUGUUCAUGCUGCAUUAUUUUUGUAGCACACAAAAGGACAACACCGUUUAUGUUAUAAUACUAUCGCUUCUGUUAUGAUAAUUUUUUUUGUGGCCAAAUAUCUUUUUUUUUUUUAAGUAAAAAAAAGUGGACAAAAUGCAAAUCAGUUUUUAAUCCUCAAUCUCUCCCAAAAUAUAUAUUUCGGUGUCUAAAAAUUCACUCACAAAACUAUAGCUGACAAAAAGUUACUAACAAAAAGUUAGGUCCAUGGGUUGUUAAAACUAUAGCUGACAAAAAUUACUAACAAAAACAGAAUGUCCAUUUUAUAACUUUCUUAAAAAACUUUCCUUAACUUUUUUAAACAAAAAGUUAUUUUCCAAUUUUAUUUUGUUAUAAUUUUAUAACAAAAAUUCGUAGUUAACUAAACUCUUCUUAUACCCUUUCUCAACUGCCAUACCCUAACCCACUAAAACCACGCUCAAUAAGGCCAUCAGAUUCUCCCGGCCCACAUUAAUCCAACUGCUUCACAGAGACCGACAGCCUCUCUAUCUCCAUUUCAAGCUCCCUCUUCAACUGGCUUCUGCUACCGUCCUACUCUUUCUCGGCUUCGGAGUCCGUAUUUGCUCGGCCUGUCCCACGAAGCUCCCUCUCACUCCAAUUGUCGCCCCACAAGGACCAAUUGCUUAAUCAAGACACCGAACAAGAAAAGGAUGAGAAGUUGAAACAAAAGAAUUUGAGAAUUGGAAAUAAAAAACGUACGCAUUGACCGUGCCUUUGAGAGUCGUUUCUCUUCAGAACUCAGUGCCUCAAUCUUGGGUUAAGGAUUUUAUGCGAAGUCAGGGAAAGAGAUUGAAGUUUCAGAUGAAUUUGUGUGCUAGCAUUGAUGGGAUCUUUAACAAUUUAUCUGUGCCCUUUA